CAGGAACAUAUGUUAUUAUUGCAGGCAACCUGAACAUCGAUCGAAUAAUUGUUUAGAACACAUAAGAAGUAAUAAUGAUUGUCGACAGGUUAAUGUGGUUGAGGAAGUGGUUAAAUCUAAGGAGGAAAUGGAUGAAGAUAAUGGUUUAUUGCUAGUUCUAAAGAAGAGGAGGUUACCUAUGUAGUGAAGAAAAUUUUAUUUUCGACGAAAUAAGAGGAUGAGACGUAAAGUAUGAAGAUUUUUUGAGCGAAGUAUCGAGUGGGAGAAGCGAUUUGCAGUCUAGUUAUAGAUAGUUGCUGUAAUGACUCGGAAACCGGACCGCUACCGGCGCUAGGAUUUAGAUCGACUUAAGCUCGCCGGAACCCGUAGCAAGCCUACUAUACAUCCUGGGUACCUAAUAAAAUCCCAUACAUAAUCAUACAUUAUCACAAAAAUUUAUACAUUCCAUGAAACCAAGCUCAACCUGUACAUGUAUCAUACUGAAAACAUAAAACUCAUACUAGAGUCCUCAUCAAAUGCUCUAGUAUGGUUAACAUCACAUGCCUCAAGCUUGGUUCGAACAUAACUCAUAAUUAAAAUUUUUACAUAAUGAUCAUGUUAACAGGGAUUACAAAGAUAAAGAAAACUAGGGCCAAACACAAUUCUAAUCUAUUAAAAUUUACAUGUCCACACUAUUCUAUUACAUAAACUAUACCAGCUACUAUGCCGACUUCCCGAUGCUAUCUUCAAUCCUGCAACCCUGGGGUUAGGGGAAAGGGAAAAGCUACAAGAGCCUAGUGAGCAGGACAUAAAAAUAGUUUAAUAAACAUAUGCUCGUAUGAAAUGCGUCACAACACAAACAAUUCACAUCAAGAUGGACUUGUUACCAGUAACCCUCUACAUAUUCUAAUGUGCCCGGCCCUCGACGGAGCUACUCAGGACUUUCGCUUAAACAUAACAUAACUUAUCCAUAAUGCCAGGGGCGUAGAAUGGGCCUCACCUGGACUUUCCCUUACAUAUUACCAGGGGCGUAGAAUGGGCCUCAUCUGGACUUUCCCUUACAUAUUGCCAGGGACGUAGAAUGGGCCUCACCUGGACUUCUGUAUCAUAUCAUAUCAUAGCAUCUCGAGGGCUAGUGGGUCAUCCAAUAUCCAUUCACAUCAACAGUAAAUUAUGCAAUGCAUCAUAUUCGUGAAUUCUAAUGCAAACGUCCUAAUACAUAAACACGGCAUUCAUGAUGCAUGAACAUGUUUAAAAAUUUGAUUACUUAAAAAUAAUAGUUUAGUUCAGUUCUACUCACCUCUGGCUGACGCUCACCUAACACUGACGCAGAUAACUCACUGUAGGCCUCUACGGUCUCCGAGGUCCGAUCCUACACAGAUGGACUCAAAUGAGGGACCAAACAUAACUAUUACAUGACUCUGAACAACUCCCCAAAAACCCCUAAAACAUACCAAAGCAUGCAUAAGAAACAAGUAAAAGAAGGUUGGACAGGGGACUUUGGGUGGCAGGUUCGGCGGUUGAAGGUCCCUCACAGAUCCGAAAGUCAGGGACUUUCGGAGGCAGGUUCGGCGGCCUGAAACCCUUCACAGAUCCGAAAGUCAGGGACUUUCAGGGGUGGGUUCGGCGGCCGAAACCCUUUCACAAAUCCGAAAGUCCAUGCUUUCGGGGGCAGGUUAGGUGGCCAAAAGGCUGCCUUCACCAGUAGGUUUUGCGGCCGAACCUGGAUUCUCCAGCAAGGCAAAACCCGAUUCUGCCUUAUGUACUCAGCCACCAAAACUCUCAAAUCCUCACACCCAACUCCUCAAAACAUGCAUACUCACUCAUCAAGCAUAAGGGGCAUAAAAACUAACCUAAGAGCAAUCAUUUAUUAAAACCCCAACUCAAAUCCUAAAACUUUAGAUCUAACCAUUUCAUGCAUUUUUAACCCUUUACCCCUUCUUAAAACUUAAUUUAAACAUAAGAAAAACAAUGAUCUAGGCUUACCUCUUGGAGAUCUAAGGGUAGCAGCAACCCAAACUUGGAGAUGAGAGAAAAAUGAUCUCCGGAGUUCUCCAAGAUUUAAAAACUUGGAUUCAAGCUCAAAUCUUCAAAAACAAAACAAAACUCAUGAAUUUUCUUAAGAGAUUUGAAAAAAAAAAAACCACAAAAGCAUCAAAGGGUGGAAAAGACUCACCUCUGCCCAAAAAUGGAGAGAAAAACUCUCUCACUUUUGGGCUAAAGGUCUCUUAUAGUGGCUGGAUAAAUCAUCUUCGGGGGCGAAAGAGGAGGUCCCGCGGUGGCAUCACCUUCGGCGGCCGAACCUGGUUUUUCCCCUUCAAAACUAUUUUCUUCAAAACUCUUUUCUUUUUUUCUUAAAACCUUAAAAAUUUUCAAAAUUCAUUUUAUAAAAACCUUAUUUUACCCUUCCUAAGAAGGUUCCAGCUUCGAGAUUCCGAGUUCCAACGGAGAUUCUGUUGGAAAAUUGAAAUUCUGACGCCGGAGUCUAGCCGGGUGUUACAGUUGCAGUUGUGAGAAUAUGAUAGCUCAACAAUUGGUGGAGAAACUGCAGUUGCCUAUACAGCCUCACCCUUCGCCAUACAAUAUUGGGUGGAUUAAGGAAGGUUCGAUAAUUAAAGCUAACAGAAUCAACAACGUGCCUAUUUCUAUUCGAUAAUUGAAGCUAACAGAAUCUGCAGCGUACCUAUUUCUAUCGCUAAAUCUUACACUGAAUCUAUUAAUUGUGAUGUUGUGGAUAUAGAUUGCUGCAGAAUUUUGUUAGGUCGUCUUUGGCAGUUUGAUGUUGAUGCUUUGUAUAAGGGGAAGGAGAAUUCGUACAUGUUUAUAUGGAAUAGGAAGAAGAUUACUAUUUUGCAUUCUGAUUUUGCGAAACAUUCUAAAGUGGAAGGGAAGAUUGUUGUUACUCUUUCUACUGGAGUGCAAAGGUUAUUAGACGCAGUUGAGAAAUGUGGAGGCAUAUUGUCUUUAUUGGUGAGAGCAAAAUGUGAAGUGGAUGAUGCACUAUCUUUACCACCACCCGUCAAAGAGCUGUUAGAGGAGUUUUGUAGGGUAGUGGAGGAGCUUUCAAAGCUUCCACCUUUGUGGGAUAUUCAACAUCGAAUUAAUCUCAUUCCAAGAUCUAAAUUACCGAAUAUGCCUCAUUACAAGAUGAGCCCAAAGGAGAAUGAAAUUCUUCAGGAACAGGUUGAAAAGUUAUUGAAGAAGGGGCACAUUCGGGAGAGUAUUAGUCCUUGCAGAGUCUCCGCCUUAUUGGUUCCAGAGAAAGAUGAAACUUAGAGAAUGUGUUUAGAUAGCAGAGCCAUCAAUAAGAUUACGGUUUAGUAUCAAUUUCCUAUUCCUUGUCUGGAUGACAUGUUGGAUCAGUUAUUAUGGUCUAAAGUCCUUUUAAAAUCGACCUUAAAAGUGGCUACUACUAAGUUCGAAUUAAGGAGGGAGAUGAAUGGAAGAUAACCUUUAAAACUAAGGAAGGUUUGUACGAGUGACUGGUUAUGCCGUUUGAUUUGACGAAUGCACCUAGUACGUUCAUACGACAUAUGAACCAGGUUUUGCGCCCUUUCUUACGCAAAUUUAUGGUUGGUUAUUUCGAUUAUAUUUUAAUUUUUAGUCGCAAUGAAGAAGAAUAUUUAUAGCAUCUCUAUCAAGUCAUGACAGCCUUGCAAAAAAAAUGAGCUAGUCAUUAAUUUAAAAAAAAUGCACUUAUAUAACGGAGCACGUUCUAUUUCUUGGAUAUGUUAUUAGUGCACAAGGGAUACAUGUUGAUGAGAAGAAGGUAAAAGCAAUUCAGAACUUGCUCAUUCCCAAAAAUAUUUCAAAAGUUCAGAGCUUUCAUGCUCUAACUACUUUCUAUCGGCAAUUUAUCAAACAUUUCAGCAGUAUGGUUGCAUCUAUCACAGAUUGUUUAAAGAAAGAGAGAGUACAAGAAUUUACUUGGACUGAAACUGCCAACAAAAGUUUUGAGGAGAUUAAAGAUAAGUUUACUUCUACUCUUAUUCUCAUUCUAUCUGAUUUUGAUAAACAAUUUAAGGUUGAAUAUGAUGCUUGUGGAGUUGGGAUUGGUUGUGUGUUAUUGCAGACUAGUAUACCUAUUGUCUUAUUUAAUGAGAAAUUGAGUGAUAUUAGGAGAAAGUGAUCUACUUAUUGUAACGACCCGAAAAUCGGACCGCUACCGGCGCUAGGAUCCAGAUCGGCUUAAGGCCGCCGGGACCUGUAGCAAGCCUGACAUCUAACUUGUAAACCUGUAUAAUCUCAUACAUGAUCAACAACAUACAUAAAAUUUAAAACUUUUCUUUCCAUUUAUACACCAACUCAACCUGUGCAUGCACUAUACAUAACAUAAUCAUAACAUUGAUCCCUCUGUGGGAUCUCAUCAGUGCCCCCAAUGGGUGACAUAACAUAUGUUGAGUUGGUUUACAUAAACAUCAUAAAACAUCUAUGAUCAUGUAUUUAAAAGGGAUAACAACAUUCUAUGGUCAAGCACACGUCUAACAUCCUUAAACAUCAUUACAUUACAUAUCUAUACACAACUCUACAUCAUUAUACAAUUUGUCAUGUCCACAUUCUAGCUAUUACAUACACAAGACUUCAUUACUCUAUCCGGACUCCUGCUAUAUCCUGUACCUGCAAGCCUGCGGGUAAAGGGAGAGGGGUAAGCUAAAAGCCCAGUGAGUAGGACUAUAAAACAUAUUAACACUAUGCUCUAUGAAAUGCAUCAUAACACAGACAAUUCACAUAAGGGCUGGGUGAACUUGUCACCAAUUAGUCCAAGCUAACUCUGUGCCAGGCCGUAGCAUAGGGUCCUGGUCUUCCUGUCAUAACAUACAUUACUUACCAUUGUCCCAGGGCCUCCUCUGGGCUCUUGGUCUUCGAGUCCCAUAACCGUGCCAGGCCGUAGAAUGGGGUCCUGGUCUUUCCUUACUCUGUGCCAGGCCGUAGAAUGGGGUCCUGAUCUUCCUGUCAUGGACUAAUUGGGUCAUCCAAUAUUCACCCACAUCAACAACAAUCGAUGCAAUGCGGCAUAUUCGUGAAAACUAAUGCAAUCAUCCUAUUGCAUAAUCAUGAUGCAUGAAACAUGAUAAACAUUUAAUUUCUCAAUUUGAAAGAUUAAGUUUAGUUCCACUCACCUCUGGCUGACUCUGAUAACACCGAAGCAGCUGAACUCACUGCUGGGGUCCUCGGUUCCUCGGGUCCGAACCUACACAGGUGGACUCAAAUGAGGGACCAAACAUACUAGAACAUAUCUCUAAACUACUCACCAAAAACCCCCUAAAACAUCGAGAGACAACCAUAGAAAAACAUGCAAAGGAGGCCUGGACAGGGCACUUUCGACGGCAGGUUCGACGGCCGGAAGUCCCUCCAGAGCCGAAAGUCAGGCAGGUUCUGCGGCACCUUCGGCGGCCGAAACUCCCAGACAGAGACGAAACUCAUGCAUGUUCGGCGGCACUUUCGGCGGCCGAAACUGUCAGACAGAGAUGAAAGUCUCCUUUCGGGGGCAGGCUUCGGCAGCCGAAAGGCUUGCCUCCCCAGCCAUGUUCGGCGGCCGAAAGUCCUUCGGCUGCCGAACCUGGUUUCUACCAAAGGGCAGAAACUUGGCUCCUUUUGCACAUUUCGCCUCCCAACCUUCCAAACAUGCAUCAAACCUAUUCUACAACACACAUACACAGCAUACAUGUUCCUAGGGGCCUCAAACCAUCAUAAACCCCAUCUACAACACAUCAAGCAUCCACAUUGUUCAAGAACACACAUUAAACCCGUAAACAUAACCAUAACCUAAACAUGCAUUCUACCCCCAUAGAUCUACUUAAAACUUACUUAAAACAUGCAAUGAGCUUAAGAUCGGCUCUUACCUCUUGAAGAUCGAGAGAGAGACGACCUAAAACUCGGAGGUGGGAGAGAUUGGGUUCUUGAACCUCCAAACUCCAAAACUUUGCUCAAAAGCUCAAAUCUUCAAAACAANNNNNNNNNNNNNNNNNNNNNNNNNNNNNNNNNNNNNNNNNNNNNNNNNNNNNNNNNNNNNNNNNNNNNNNNNNNNNNNNNNNNNNNNNNNNNNNNNNNNNNNNNNNNNNNNNNNNNNNNNNNNNNNNNNNNNNNNNNNNNNNNNNNNNNNNNNNNNNNNNNNNNNNNNNNNNNNNNNNNNNNNNNNNNNNNNNNNNNNNNNNNNNNNNNNNNNNNNNNNNNNNNNNNNNNNNNNNNNNNNNNNNNNNNNNNNNNNNNNNNNNNNNNNNNNNNNNNNNNNNNNNNNNNNNNNNNNNNNNNNNNNNNNNNNNNNNNNNNNNNNNNNNNNNNNNNNNNNNNNNNNNNNNNNNNNNNNNNNNNNNNNNNNNNNNNNNNNNNNNNNNNNNNNNNNNNNNNNNNNNNNNNNNNNNNNNNNNNNNNNNNNNNNNNNNNNNNNNNNNNNNNNNNNNNNNNNNNNNNNNNNNNNNNNNNNNNNNNNNNNNNNNNNNNNNNNNNNNNNNNNNNNNNNNNNNNNNNNNNNNNNNNNNNNNNNNNNNNNNNNNNNNNNNNNNNNNNNNNNNNNNNNNNNNNNNNNNNNNNNNNNNNNNNNNNNNNNNNNNNNNNNNNNNNNNNNNNNNNNNNNNNNNNNNNNNNNNNNNNNNNNNNNNNNNNNNNNNNNNNNNNNNNNNNNNNNNNNNNNNNNNNNNNNNNNNNNNNNNNNNNNNNNNNNNNNNNNNNNNNNNNNNNNNNNNNNNNNNNNNNNNNNNNNNNNNNNNNNNNNNNNNNNNNNNNNNNNNNNNNNNNNNNNNNNNNNNNNNNNNNNNNNNNNNNNNNNNNNNNNNNNNNNNNNNNNNNNNNNNNNNNNNNNNNNNNNNNNNNNNNNNNNNNNNNNNNNNNNNNNNNNNNNNNNNNNNNNNNNNNNNNNNNNNNNNNNNNNNNNNNNNNNNNNNNNNNNNNNNNNNNNNNNNNNNNNNNNNNNNNNNNNNNNNNNNNNNNNNNNNNNNNNNNNNNNNNNNNNNNNCAAAAACAUGACAAAAACACAAAUUAAGCUAGAAAAAUGUGUAAAUAAACAGUAAUAAAUAUAAUAAAAAUGUGGCUAAAUUAUGCUUGAUCAGGGUAAAUAGAAAAGUAAGCCCGAACUCAUGCUGUUUUAUAAAAAAGAUCAAAUUACCCUCCUGCUGGGCAUCUAAAAAGCCUUCCGACGGUGGAAUAAACAGAACUAUGCGCUCAUUAGGUAAGAGAGUCCUAAUCUUGAAAAUUGUGGUAUCAACAAGGUUGUGAGAAAAAUAGUUAGAAAAAGAAGGAGUGAUGGAAGAGACUAGACCGACUACUUUGGAGAUCCUAAUAGAAGCCGUGAAAAGAGCGAAAUAUACCUCGGAUCGAAGAUUCAAAGUUACAAAAAAGAAAGAUGGCAAGAUAGCAGAAGCAACAUAAAAGACAAAGCAACGAGCAAAAGCACAAUUUUGAAAUGGAAAAGACAGAGAAAGAUGCUUUAACAGAACCCCCCUAGAGUCACAUGGUAAUAAUUGGAUCUCGAAAUUUACCUCAUCAUAAAUUAUGAAACAAUUAAUGAACAGGUAAAAGGAUACUUGAUAACUACCGGACUCCAAACGUCCAAGCCUGAAGUAGCCCAAAUUAGAAGAACUGGGCCCAAACUCCAUGAGAGUCCAAUACCCGACUCUAAACCCUCCAUGGGUUCAGGGCCGAUGCAGGCAAAUCGGGUUGAAUGCGAAUCUAAUCGUAGGAUCCUGGCUCCAAAUACCCGAUAGCCUCCAUGCAAGAACAGACUCCAUAGUGCCCGGAAUCAUAUACAGGUGGUACCGGAUGGAAUUAAAUAACCAUCGGACAAAAAAGAAAUAAUAUAUCCGUAUGUAUUUUCAACGUGAAUAUGGCAAAGGGUAUAAAAAAGAACGACAAUUAUAUAUCACUAAAAACAAAAUAGAAGGAAAAUAAAAGAAAACGUGUAAUACCCGGCUAGAUUCUGGCAUCGGAAUCCCUACCUCCCGGCGGAAUCUCCGUGGGAAUCUGGGAUUUUGAUGAUGCUAGAGUCUUCUUGUAGGGUAAAAGGUGUUUUCUAAAAUGUUUUUACUGAUUUCAUGGUUUUAAAUGAAAAAGAUUUGAGUUUUGAAAGGAAAAGACCAAGGAGGCAUUUGCCAGGUUCGGCCGCCGAAAGUGAAGUUCGGCCACCGAACAUGGGAAGGUUUCGGGAGUGCCUUUGGCCUCCGAAAGCCUUGUUUGAAUGAACCAGGUUCGGCCGCCGAACCUCAAGUUCGGCCGCCGAACAUGCAUGAGUUUAGGGGGCACGUUAGGCUGCCAAAGGUGGUUCAGCAGGCCACCUAUAAAGAGCCCUCAGAUCGGAAAUGGGCGAGUUUUCUCCCCAUUCUCGAGCUCAGGUGAGUCUUGGUCCUCCUUUGGUCAUUUUCAUGUUUUUCUCUACCCAUCCUUCAAGUUUUCAUAAGAUCUACCCUGUUUUUGAAGUUUUGAAGCUUUAAAAGGAGUUUUGGAGCUUGGAGGCUUUUGGAGCUUGGAUCCUCCACACCUCUGAGUUAGGGAUCGUACCACCUCUCGGUCUUCAAGAGAUAAGUGUAGAUCUUUGCCUUCCUAGUGUUUUAAAGAAGUUUUAAGCAAGUUUGAUGAUGUUUUGAUGGUUGAGUAUGGGUAGAUAUGCAUGUUAGGGUUUAUGUGGGUUUUGUGCCCAAAGUGUGUUUAUGUGAUGCUAUGUUGAAGGUUUGAGCUGGUUUAUGCAUGUGGGAGAGUGUAUGCAUGAUUGGGAAAGAGCUAGUGAGAUUAUGGGUUGUUUUGAUAGUUUUGGCCUAUGUGGGUCAUAAACUAUCUAUGUAUGCUUUUGAUGUGUUUUUGGGGUUUAAUCUAGUUGUUAAGCUCCUUUAUGCAUGACUAAGGGUUUAUGCAUGGUUUUGAGAAGUUUAUGCAUGUUUUAAAAGGUUGGAUGCUUGUUUUGGGGGUUUGGGAGGCUUGUAUGCACAAGGACUGAGUUCUGGAAGAACUCAGGUUCGGCCGCCGAAGGUGGUUUCGGCCGCCGAACAUGCCUAUGGAUGCAUGAAUUGGCCGCCAAACCUUGCCCCCGAAAGUUGUGUUUCAGAGAUGAAGCAGACUUUCGGCCGCCGAAGGUGAUGUUCGGCCGCCGAAAGUGCAUGACUUUCGUCUCUGGAGAAAGGGUUUGGCCGCCGAAGGCGCCCCCGAACCUGCAUGACUUCGUCUCUGGAAGGGACCUUCGGCCGCCGAAAGUGCCGCCGAAAGUGCCCUGUCCAGCCUUUUCUUGGGUGUUUUCUAUGCAUGUCUCUAUGAUGUUUUAGGGGUUUUUUUGGGGAGUUGUUUAUGAGUUGUUUAGAGUAUGUUCGACACCUCAUUCGAGUCCACCUAUGUAGGAUCGGACCUGAGGGACCGAGGAGGCCAUCAGUGAUAGCAGUUGCAGAGUUAGUCCAGCGUCUGCCUGAGGUGAGUGGAACUAAACUUAAUGUUUUAAUAUAAGAAAUUAAAUGAUUCUAGAGCAUGAUUCAUGCAUCAUAAAAUGCCAUGAUAUGUAUUAGGUUGUUUUGCAUUAGAAUUCACGAAUAUGAUGAAUUGCAUAAUAUGUUGAUGAUGUGGAUGGAUAUUGGAUGAUCCUUAGCCCUCAGUAUGAGAUGAGAUAAUGCGAUAUGAGAUGACAUGGUAUGAGAUAGAAAGCCCAGGUGUGGCCUAAUCGCCCCUGACAUUAUGUAUAUGUAAGGAAAGUCCAGGUGUGGCCUAAUCGCCCCUGGCAUAGUUGGACAUGUUAUGAUAUGAGCUAGUAAAGGAAGCCCAGGUGAGGCCUAACCGCCCCUGGCAUAGUUGGACAUAUUUCGAUAUGUAGAGGGCUAAAGGUGACAAGUUCAUCCUUGAUGUGUUAUGUUUGUGAUGUGAUGCAUUCUAUGAUGGCAUAUUUGUAAAUGAACUGGUUUGCUAGUAUGGUUUCCGCUCAUUGGGCUUUAUAGCUCACCCCUCUCCCCUAACCCCAGGUAUGCAGGGUCAGAGAUAGUCAGAAGAUCAGCAGGUUAUGUCUAUGGUCAGACUCUUGUAAUAGAUUAGUAGUGGACAUGAUGUAAGGUUCAGAUAUGUAAUGAAAUGUAAAAUGUUAUGAUGGAAAUCAAUGUAAUGUAAUAGAUAGAGUUGUGCUUUGCCCUAGAAGUGUGGUUAAUCCCUUGUAUAUGGUUCUUAUGUAUGUCUUUAAUGAGGGAGGAAAACCAAGCUUAUUUUAUGUUGCCCCAUUAGAGUUGAUGAUGAGAACUCUAGUGUUGGGGUUUAUGAUUAUGAGUUUGUGCAUGCACGGGUUAAGCUUGGUGUAUGAAAGAAAGAAAAAGUUCACAAAUUUUAUGUCUUACAACUUUUAUGUUUAUGUUUGAUCAUGUUUGGGAUUAUACCAGAUGUACAGGAUGUAUGUUAGGCUUGCUACGGGUCCCGGCGGCCUUAAGCCGAUCUGGAUCCUAGCGCCGGUAGCGGUCCGGAUUUCCGGAUCGUUACAAAACGAGUGAGAAAUGAAAACCAAACUUACAAAAAUAUACCCUAAACCUAAACUUAUUAUUAAAUCUCAUGCAUCAUAAAAAAUAAAACUUAUAAUUUUAUAAGAAAAUAAAUAAUAAAAAACGAAACUUAUAAUUUUAUAAGCGAAUAAAUAAAAAAAUCUUAUAAAUAAUUGAUAAAUUAUUCAUAUAUAUUUAUUCUUGAAACUACUAAAAAGAUAAUACUGAUGAAAUUUUAAAAAUUAGAAGGGCUAGUAAAUUAUUUUGUUAAAAUAAUUAUGAACUUAAUUCUUAUAAGCACUAAUUGCAAUAUGAAUCCGUUUCUAUUUACUAGGUGCUUUUUAUUAUUGUGAAUUUUUUUCCCUAUGUUUAAAAUUAAUAAUUUCAUAAUAAUUUAAUUUAAUUAUUAUUUAUAUUAAUUCUUUUAUUUAAAAUAAAAAAAAAACCUUUUAACUAAAAAUUUUCAUUUAAAAAAAUCAUACAUGAUUUUUUAACAAUCCAUUAUAGAUUGCUCCAAAUGAAGCGUUACUAUUGCUGUUAAUAACUUUUUUUAAAACCGAAUUGAAAGUAUAAAUUUGUUGAUUUAGCUUUUAAAUUUGAUUUUUAAUGGUUGAGACUGGAGUUGUGGUGUUGAAUCCAAUACCUUUUAAAGUUCAAAAUUAUUAAAAAUAAAUUUUUAUUUAAAAUAAAAUUUAUGAUAAUGUGAAGCGGAGUGAAUUCAAUAGAUAAUGUAUUAAUUAUAUUAAAUAAAUAAAGAAAUAAAAAUAAAAUACACUUACAGACUUAUGAUAAGCUGAGUAAAUUUGAAAAAUUUUAAGCAAUUUCCAACUCAAACCUCAAUCUCCAUUUUAAAAUAAAAAAAUAAUAAAAUAGAGAUUUUUAAUAUAGAGAAAUAAAAAUAAAUAAAAUUAAUUAAAAAAAUAAAUAAUUAAAUUUAAGAAAAUCUGAAUUUUACAACCAAUUGAACUGUAAUUUUAAUUAUUAAAAAAAGACUUAGCCACACGCAUGACAUAAUUUAUUAGGAAAUUAAAGUUUAAAUAUGAUUUUGUUUCUUAUUCUCUUAUAAAUUUGAUUGUGACUAGAUUUGAUGUGAAAAUAUAAAUUCUAAAUUAAAUUUUUGUUUUUUAUUUUUUAUUAUUUUUUAUUUUUCGAAAUAUUUAUUGCCAAAUUAAACAUAUCAUGAUAAUUGAUAAUUUUUUUUUUGAAAUGAAAACGGGAUUGAACGAGUAUAAUUUAAGAUUUUUUAAAUUUAUUUAGAUAUAUUUAUCACCAAAGUAUCUGUAAGUACAUGAUAAUUAAUAUCUUAAACAUUAUCUUUAAUUUUUAUAAGUUCAAGCGGUAUAAGCUAUUAAAAUUUUCAACCUUCUAUACGAGAGAGGGAGUUCUACCUAUACUAAUUAAAAUUUUAAAAAAUAAUAAACAAUAAAAAGUUGCAGGUGAUAAAUGUAUAUUUUUUAGAAAAUUCUUUUACGUAUCCAGUUAUAUACAUUUUUUAAAUAUAAUUCUCAUGACAUAUAAUAUAAAAUUGAAAAAAAUUAUAUAUAAUAUGAUGAGAUCUAUAUAUUAAUAUAAAUUUUUAAUUUCUAUUAACUGAAUACACAAAUCUACCUUGUAUGUAAGAAUUUUUCGUAUUUUUUAUAUGAUAAGCAAAAAAAAUCAUAUCGUUUCUAAUAAUUUUAUAAUUUUGCACUUUUAAUUGUUAAAUAAUUGGGCAAUUGAUGCAAAAUUAGAAUCAUUGAUUACUGAUUGCUUACUAUUGACUAUUAAGAUUAUGCUCAAUAAUUAUUUUUAAAAUAAUAUUUAAUAUUUUGAUUUGAUUAAAAUAUUAUUAUUUAAUAAUUAAAGAAAUAAUUUAUAAAAAAUUAAUUAAAUACUAUUUAAAUAGUUAUCUGCUACUGCAUCUAGAAUACCUAACUGUUAAUAUUGUGGAACGUCCAAUCAAAUGCUAAUGCUUGAUUAAUCACUUCCAUAUAUAGUGGGAACCCAUUUAUAUAUAGUGGAAUCCAUGUUGGCCCAUACAAAGAAAAAUUAUACCGUAAAUAGCAACCCCUUAAAAAAUUUAAUAUUAUUAUUUUUAAAUAAAUUUACCUUCUUGUUUUUUGGUUUGUAUGAUUUUUCUAUUUAUUAAAUUUUUAUUGCGUUAUCAUUUUAUAUAGAAUUUUGCAUAUUAAUCAAUAAUAUUAGAUGCAAGUAAAGGUAAAAUUAUGGAAUAAAUUUGGCAUAUAUUUUUUGAUUUAUAAAUAUUUUUCUAUGAUAUAUGAUAUAUAAAUAAUAGGAAGAAAGGAUAGAAUAAAUGAGAUUAAUAAAUAAAAAAUAAUAUUAAAUUUUAGUAUAAUUUAUAACAUUUUUAAUUUAAUUGGUUUGUUUAGUUUUAUAUUUAAAUAUAAAUUAUAUUUUAAUUAAAAAUAAAUUAUUUCAAAUAUAAUAUAACUUAUUUUCUUCACUAACCCCAAAAUUUAAUUAAUAUUGAAUAUGAAACUGAGGAAUCCUGAGGGAAAAAAAAAUCAAUCGACGAACUUUCUUAUAUUUGAAAUUCAAUAGUUAUAUUAGGUAAUGAUUAGAAUUAAUUGUUGCAAUAUAUUAAAAAUCUUAAAUAAAUUUCGCACUUGCUUACGAUAAUAUAUCACACUAAAUUUAAUAUCAUCUAUAUUUUUAAAUUUAGUUUAAAUCAAAAAAAUUGAAUAAAUUAAAUUAUUUAAAAUUUUAAUUUAAUUUUUUAUUUAUUUGAAUUUAGUUUGAUUUUUAAUUUUAAAAAUUUUAAUUAUUUCAAUUCAGUUUGAUUUUAAUAAAAAAAAUUAAAAAAAUCAAACCGAACUGAUUAAUGAUAAUAAUAUAUUAUUUUUAAUAAUAUAAAAAAAUUAUAUCAUAUUAAACUUAAAAUAUUCUAAUUAAAUUUUAAAAUAAUACAAAUAAAGUGUAAAAAAUAAAAUAUUUAUUAAAAAUUUAAAUUGAUCAAAUUAAAUCAAAUUAAAUUGAAUCAGAUCAAUUCGAUUCGAUUUAAUUUUUGAUUAAAAUCAAUUCGAUUUGAUUUUUAUAAAUAUUAAAAUUUUAAUUUUAAUUUAUUCGAUUCGAUUCGAUUUUAAACGAAAUUGAGCGAAUGUUUAUCAUAGUUCAGAUUAGACGAUUAAAUUUUUGACAUUGAAAUAAUAUAAUAAAUAUUAAAUAACUUUUGAAAACUUUAUUAAAAUAAAAAAUUCACAUUUUUAUAAAGUUAUAAAUAAAAUAAAAGGAGGGACCAUUGUGUUUGUGUUGGUAUAUAAUUAUAAGCAAAUGCAUGUGAAUGACGAGGCUAGGAAACUGUUUGCAGGCGGAGAUGAGAGAGAAGGGGAGGUUGCAAAAGGGGCCACCGUCCGCCGCCCAGGACACCAACAUUCUAAAAUCUAAAUUUUAGCAUUCGAUUUUCAAACAAGUAUAUUUAUCAUAUACUUAUUUUAAUUUAAUUUAAUUCAUUAACUUACUCAAUUUUAAUUUAAUUCAAAGUCAUAACCAUCCUCCAAAUAGAGAUUUUAAAAAAAUUAACAACAAAGUUAAUGCAUUUAUUUUUUAAAACAGAUGAUAUAUUAUUUUAUUCAUAAAAUUAACAUAAAAAAAUUAUUUAAGAACAUUUGAGAAAAAUUUAAUGCUGCUAAAUUGAUUCCGAGAAUAUUUGAAAUUGGAAAAAAAAAAAAAAGUUAUAGGGGACUCGAUAUUUGAAGUCAGCCUAAAAAGUUAAAUUAAUUGAAAGAGAUUUCUUGGAUAAUGGCCCACCACAAGCUGGAAUACGAAGCUUGGUUGUUGGUAGGGUCUCUCAUAGAUUCAUAGCCCGCCAGUGUUGAACUCAUCUCAGUCACGUAUUCACAUUGUUCAGAUAAAUUUAAAUUUUGAAUUCAGAAAUAAUUAAGCAGCUUAUGCUGGAAUGAGAUAUUGAUUAAUUUGCUGGUUAAGCAAAAUCACGAUUCUUAAUUACCAUUAUUAUUUGAAAUAUUACUUUGUAUUUGUGUCAUGCAAUUCUUAUUAUCUCCUUAAUUUAAUUUAUCUCAAUUUCUGUUUAUUCUUCGCCAUAAAUUAAUUAGUUAUGAUGAUCUAUCUCAUUCCAAUGAAUACCCAGCACAAAAACUUUGGUGGGGUGUCAUAUCGUCCAAUAAGCCAAGAAAGUGGGAAAAAAUGUCAAAUAAUAAUUAAUUGAAAGUGGAAAAAAAUCUCUUUUUAUCUCUCUAAGUAAAUUUCUUCAAGAUGUACGAUGGGGUUUCUGCUUCAUCUUUUUCUGAGGAAGAUUGGACCCAAGGGUUUACGUUGUUCAGUGAUAAUCUUCGUUCUGCCAGCGAUGAAGUUAUUAUUAUUAUUUUUUUUUCCCCCAAGGCAUAGCCAACAUGUUUGAACUUUGAGGUAUUUGGAUAAUGAAGCAACCUACAGACAAGGUGUUUCCUGUGCAAGUGCAAUCAUACUCUUGGGUUCAGACAAUUUCUUUCUAGAUUGCCUUUUAUAUAAUUAUAAAUUAAUUGUUUAAUAUUUCUAUUUAAUAUGAAUAGGAAAAAUUUAAGAAUAAUUGAAUCAUGAUUGAUGGUGACUCAAAGGUUCCAUCACUUAAAAUAUCACAUUUACUCUUACUGAUUUUGUAGGUAAAUUAAUUUCUAAAUUACAAUCUCUUUUCUCUAUUAAUUUUUCUGCGACUAGUUAUCUUUAUUGCUUUUAACAAAUAAUAUAAAUUAUGUUAUUAUUUUUAAGAUAAAUAAUAAUUAAAAAAUAUAUUUAUUUUAAUACUUAUCCUUUCUACCCACUUACAUUUUUCACAAAACUUCUUCUCUCCAAUAUUUUCUGACACUCAUCUCCUAUUUUUCUUACAUGUUCUCAUAUUUUUUUUCCUACUUCCCUUACAUCACAUUUUACGUAUUUAUUAUAAAAUCACUCAACCAUAGCAUCAACAAUAGACCUUUUGAUCAAUCUUGUCACAAUAAAUAUUUUUCAAGAUAUUUUUGGACAUAACCAAAAUCAGAGUGUAAAUAAAGUUGACAAUGAAGAUGAGUUAAGUUAUGAUCAAUAUGAAGAUGGAGAUAGAGCAUAUAUUAUAGAAGAUUCUAAUGAAAAUGAACAUGAAGAGUUACAAACAUUGUAGUUCUUCAAUAAAUAAUAAAUUUUGUUUUGAAUGAAAAUUAUUUACAAACACUGUAAUUCUUUUUGUUAAUAUUUAAAAUGGAAACAUUGAUAUUAGAUAUUUUUUUAUGAGAUAUUUAUUUUUAUUAUGAUUCUUUAAUUACUUACUUUUUACAUUAUUAAAUAUUUUAUGUAUUAUUACUGGUAGUAUAAUAAAAACAUGAAAAUCAAAUUGUCAUGUAUGUGUUUCAAUGUUAUAAUUCAUUCAAUUAAUUUUUUUUUUGUAAUUGCAUGAACUUAUUGAGUUAAAACUUAAAGUCUACUUUAUUGUAUAAGAUUUGCAUGACUGUUUUUUCAUUUAUAAAGUCUACUUUAUUUAAAUAAUAUAAAGUAUUAUAUAUAUUUUGUCAGCAAAUAAGUCUUAAAAGUAACUGUUAAAUUUAGCAUUAGAAAAUAAAAUUAAUAUAAUUUCAUAUUUUUAAUAAUUAUUAUGUUAUAAUUUUUUCAGCAAAUACAUUAUUUUCUUAAUAUUAUUUGUAACACUUUAAUUGAAAUAUUAAACAGCUGAUAGACAUAAAAGUGUAAGAAAUAUUAUAUUCCAUCAAAAUUUAUUAUUUGUUUAAGAACAAAAUCCUAUAUACAUCUCAACAAAUAAAAGCAACCAUCAAGUGGUUGAAAUUUGCAUUAUCAAGUUCAUUAGCUUCCUCUGUAACUCCUGUAUUUGAUGUUGUUACACAUGAUGAAGAUUCUCCAUCUAUAGAUAAACUCACGUUCCUUUUUAAUUUAAUAUAAUAAUUGUAUGCUUCAAUAGUCUCUGCUUUUAUAAUAUAAGAUUUAUAUAAACUCUUGUUAACUCCAAUAACAUUAGGUGCACACUCGUACCCAGAAAUGUAUAUUCCAGGGUUAACACCUUCAAAAACAAUAUAAUACUUUUAUAUGUUCUUUUAUUUCAUCAUAACAAAAUAUACCGCUGAAUAGUGAAAAGAAUUCAAAAGAACGAUGAAAAUAAAUAUAAAGAUGAGAUGAAGUGUCUUUUUAUAUAUAUGUCGAAUGUUUUUAUAGAAGUGAAGAUAAAAUUUAAAUCAUUCUUCAAGAAUAAAUGGAGAUGUUGAUAUUAUUGAAUGUAAGCAGGUAUUCUUAAUAAAGACAAAGAAAAAAAAAUAUAUACAAGAAAAUGAUAUUGUAGCAGGAGUUGACGUGUAAAAGAAAUAAAAAUUAAGAAGAUUUCAAUAAAGAGAAUUUAAAAUUUGAAUUUUAAAUUAAAAAGGAUAAUAAAGUAAAAAUACAUUAUAAAAUUACUUGAAUAACUUCAUUGAUUCAUAUUUAUUGUGGAUCAAGUUGAGCCAUCAAACUUUUUUCAAUUUAAUAAUUGAGCAAUAUUAAUGGAGAGCAUUGAGAGAUGUAGCGAUAUUCAUGAGUAUAUAAAAUCGUCUAUGAGAUGUUAGAGAAUUGUAUCGUAUUUAUAAAAUUUGAAAAUUAAAUAUUAAAAUAUUUAUAAAUUUAAUUAUUAUUUAGAUUAUAAUGAUGAAAAAUCAUUAUAAAUUUAAAAUAAAAUAAUUAAAUUAAAUUAAAUAUUUAAAAUAAUUAAUAUUAAUUAUUAGGAUACCUUAAUUUUAAACCUGAUUCAAUUGAAGCAAAUACUUCUAAAGUAAUUGAUUUUCUCUCGAAUAAAAUCAAAUUAAUUAAUUAAAAGUUAUCGUCUAUUUUCCAAUAAGUCGAUAAUUCUCUAAUUAAUUUUAUAAAUUCUGUUAUUAUUUUGUUUAAAAUUUCAUAAAUUAAAAUUUCAUUUUCCAACCAAUUAGUAUUAUUAUGAUAUUCGAUUUUUAAUUCAGUUCUCAUACGUUCUCUUCUAAUAUCAAUUUCAGGAUGAAAUUAUUCAAAUAUCUAAUAAUAUAUUGAUAAAAAAAAAUAAUUUAAAUAAAUUAAAAAGAAUCAAUUAUUUAAGUUACAUUAAGUUUUUUGAUAAAAAAAUUUAAUUGUUUAUGUUGAGUGAUUUAACAAUAAACUCUAUUGAAAAAUUAUUUAAAAUUAUUUUAAAAUAAUUAUAAAUAAUAAAUUUAAAAAUAAUAAUAAUAAAAAAAAAACUCUACAUAAAUUUCUACUGCUAGACAUUUGAUAAAAAGCAUGUUACACUUGGUAAAAACUCUAAAGUCUUUCCACGAGUCGGACGUAGAAAUCAUCAAAACUUUACACUCUCUUCGUAUUAUAAAAAUAGGCCACUAAUUAUUUUAUAUAAAUUAAACAAAAUAUAGUUAAGAUAGUUAAAGUUUUAUUAUGUUUUCUAUUCUUUCUGCUCAUAUUUACUCUACUACUAAACUAUUCCUUCAAUUAACAAAAAGUGAAAAGUAUAAAUAAAAAUAUAUUAUAUUGUUGUAUCGAUAUUUCACUUUAAAAUUUAUUAUUUAAUUUAUAUUAAAAUAAUAUUUAUAAUAUUAUACGGUUAAUAAAUAAAAUAAUUUUUAAAUAUUAUUAAAAAUAUUAAUAUAAAAAUUAUAUUAUAAAAUAUUAAUUUAAUAUAAAUUAAAUCAAUGACUCUAAAAUAAAAAUAAAUGAAAUUAUAUAAUAUUUUUUAUAUUUUUAAUUAAUAAAUAUAUUUUAUUCAUCAUGUCAAUAUUUUUUAAUAAUAUUAAAAAAUUAUCACUAUUUACUAACGGUAUAAUACUACUAAUAUUAUUUUGAUUCAAAAUCACAUACUAUAAAAUAAAAUUAGUAAAAAUAUAGAAUUUUUUUUUUUUUUUACUUUUUUACUUAAUAAAACUUAAUUUAUUGUAUAUACUGAUAGGGGUGCGUCAGUAAAAUAAUAAAUACAAUAUCAUUAAAAAAAUGUCUAUAAUUUAGAAUAAAUAAAAAGAAAUAUUUUUAUACAAUAAAAAAAAUCUUAAUUUAGAGAUAAAAUUUAUACUUCUCACCUAUUGCGCUUAUGUUUAAAUAAUACAUUAUUACACUAAAUAAUUUCAUUUAUUUAUAAUUCUCUUAUUUAGAAUGAAAGAUUUAAUAAAAAUUUAAUUUAAUUUAUUUUUUUUUUCUGUUAAUUUCAUUAUUUAAAAUGAAAAAAAUAUUUUUUUUUAUUUAUAAAAAUUUUAUUUUUAAAAACAAAUAAAAUUAUGUAUUAAUUUUUAUAAGAAUUCAUUUAAAUUUUUUUAUUUCAAAAUCAAUCCAAGAGAAUUUAGAUGUACUGUAAUUAGGUGUAGUUCAUGUUUUAACCUCUAAAUUAAAUUAUUAUUGCAUCUGAUUUUAUUUGAUAGAGUUAAACCUACAGUUAAAAAAAAAUAAUUAUAGAGGCCAUAUUGUCUUUAGAUGCUUUCUGGGAUAAUAAUAUAAUCAAUAGCCUCAAUCAUUACUAAUUGUUAUUGGUCCUUUUCGAAAAGGAUAUUUGCCUAAAUCAAUGUUAUUGUCAACUAUCUUUUAUUUUAUUUGUAUUUGUCAAUGUUGCCUGAGAUUCUAUAAAAAAAAACUUCCAAUCUUUUAUUUUAUUAUUUUCUCUCCAAAGUAAUUAGAGGAAAAUAAGGAAAAAACUUAUUUACCUUUCUUCUUUUAUUUUAUUUAAUUUUUUUUUUCCAACAAGAAAAAGUCACUUUCCCUUUCCUUAUUUUCCCCACAUCCAAACAUAGGUUGAAAGAACUAGAAAUUAUUGUUGUACAUCAAACGGCAUUGGCCACAACUCCUCCAGCAAUUACCAGUGGGGAAACUGCGAUAGGGCUCCUAACUGUGUGAACUCCAUUCUCUUCUAUCCAAACGAGGGAACCAAAUUGGACACUCAUUUUCUUGUCCCCGCUGUACUUUAUGGUAAUACAAUAGCUUUGCUUGUCAUAUUUUUUCCCAAACACCAGAGUUGUCGGUGAGACGGUAACUAUUGAUCCCUUUGGUGCAGUAACCUUAGCUUUAUAAGUAGCAGCAUCUUCUCCCACAUUUGUUACUGUCCUCUUGAACUUCUGGACCAUCACUGAUGUUGUUUUGUUAUCGUACAAAGCGAUAAAAGAUGGGUAGUUGAGAUCAGAAGAUGGGUUUGAACAAUGGUAACGCUUUGAUCUUGUAAUCGCCAAAAUUUGAUUUUUUGUGUAAUUCAUGGAGCAUAGGAGAUUUACGUAGUCUUGUGGGGUGGCGUCAUAAAUCAGACCUGGGUCCAGUGCUCGAUUAGGAUCAAUUUGGCCAGCUCCCAUGGCUAAUGGAGAUGCAUGUGCAAACUUUUCAGCACCAUUGUCUAUGAUUGGAUUUUGAGUGUUGUCUAAUGGGUUUGCAGUGGUCAUCAUGGCAGACCGAAUAGCUGCAGGACUCCAUUCAGGGUGGGCACCUUUUAAGAGGGCAGCCACACCAGAAGCAUGAGGACAAGCCAUCGAUGUGCCAGAGAUCAUAUCGAAAUCACUAGACAAGUAUAUGUUCAAUCCAAUUUGAGCUGACUGUCCAUUUGGAAUCCAAGAGGCCAAAACUUGAGAACCAGGGGCCAUUAUAUCCGGUUUCAAAAUGGAAGGAUAGCUCGGCGAGGGACCUCUUGAAGUGUAUAUAGCUGCAGCUGGCGCCGGUUUUGUGCCUGUAAUGGUUUGCUGGAACUUCAUGCUAGCGGAAGGCUUCUCAUAAGUUGUGGCAUAUUCAAUGACGGCCGAUGCUUCACUGGGGCUAAUCACAACGGAAGGACUAUAACUGCCGCCUAAUUCUAACAAAGAUGGAUCAUUUGAAAUGAAAAUAGCAGCAGCCACAUUUGGAGAGGCUGCAAUAGCAUUCAUUUGAUUAAAAACUUCCCCAAUAUCGUCACAUAAGAUGAUGCCAAACUGAGCUUGAGAUAACAGCUUAGUGGAGUUGCACGCUGAAAAGGUCUUGUUGUGAAUCAACGGCAGAUUAUCAACCAAUGCAUUAGCUGGGAACAAAGUCCAUCCAAUAAUGGUUUGGCCAUUGCCUAGACUUAAAGUCCCAGCAAAUGAGCGAUCAAUGGUACCAGCUGCAACAGUCAAGAGCCAUGGAAUCCCAUUAUGCAAGGUCCCAAGAUCUGGCCCUUCAUUUCCUGCUGAAGAUGAGACCACCACUCCGUUUUCCAUUGCUGCAAAUGAGGCUAUGGCAAUGGGGUCCUCGUACAGUGGCACUCCAUCGAAGCCCAUGGAGAUAGAAAUCACAUCAACACCAUCAGCAAUAGCUUGGUCCAUACCAGCAAGAACAUCAGAGGCAUAGCGACCCUCUUCCCAGAGUACCUUGUACAUAGCCACUCUAGCUCGUGGUGCCAUACCCCUUGCUGUACCAGUAGCAUAGCCAAAAUAUGUUGCAUCUUCAACAUAGUUCCCUGCAGCUGUGGAGGAAGUGUGGGUCCCAUGUCCAAAAAUGUCCCUUGGAGAGUUCAUGAAAAUUUUAGUCCCAGGAUGGGCAGCUAUAACUCCUUUGUUGAAAUAUCUAGCUCCAAUGAGCUUUGAGUUGCACAUGGAGGAAUUGAACUCUUCUCCUUCUUCACAAAUUCCCUUCCAUCUGGAAGGUACUGCAGUCAUACCAUCAUCUCUAAAGCUCUUGCUCUCUGGCCACACACCACUGUCGAUGACUCCAAUGAUAACAUCUUCACCGAAAUUGGAAGCAGGCCAUAGGCCGGUGGAUGGAUUGAGGGAAAGAAAUUUGUAAGUGUGAGUGGUGUCCACUGUGGCCGUCUUGUCUUUGUAAGCAGAAACGAAACCUGGGGAAUUUCUUAGAGUUUGAAGUUGAGAAGAAGAUAAAACAGCAGUAAAACCAUGAGCAGCGUUAUCGUAAGAGUAGACAAAUGAUGAUGGGAGACUAUGGUCAUUGUGUGACGACGAGAGAUUGUUAUAGGUAGAUUUGAGGGAAUUGCAUAUUGAUGAGUACCAGUCUUGAUGGUUAUUGAAGGUUUUGGGCAUCAGAGAUUUGUCCAUAUGGACGAUGUACGUGGCCCUGUCUUCUAAAGCAGAGAUUGCAGAACGAGCAUCGAAGAAACAAGGGCAGGCAAGAAAGAAAAGGAAAAGGGGAAGCAUCUUCAUUUUUUCCCCCAUUAUCUCUGAAGACUUUGCUUUGUUGCAUGGAUCGCCUCCUCAUCCGCUCAUAUAUAUAGUUGAAUUUAUGAUGGUACGUAUGUAGUAUUAUUUUUCGUAUAGGAAAUAAUGCAAUAAAAAAUGAGUCAUGAAAAAUUUAAGGAUAUUCGACUAAAAAUAUUAAUGUUGACGUCGUAUUUCUAUUCUAAUUUAUUUUUUUUUAAUUUUAAUUUAAUUGAUUUAAUUUUUUAUUUUAGUAUAAUUUUAUUUAAUUUAUAAAUUUAUAAAUUUAAUAGUUUGCAAUUCGAUAAUUUAAAUAGUAAGCAACAUAUAUUAUUAUUAUUAUUUUAAUCAGUUAACCGACCGAAAAAAAUCUUAUGUUUGUAUUAUUUUAUAUUUUAAUUUAAUUAUUUAAAUUUUAAAUUAAUUAGUAUAACAUUUUAUAUUUAAAUAUAAUUUUAAUCAAUUUUUAAAAUUAAAAUUAAAAAUUAAAAAUAUAAUUAUUAAAUAUAUAAUUCACAUUUUUUCAUCGCAAUAAAUUUUAUUUUAUAAUAAUAAUUAUAAAUAUUUUUAUAACAAAUAUAUUAUUUAAUCUACAAUAAAGAGCAUAACAAUAAUUAAAAAUAAUAUAUUUAUAUUAUAUAUUUAACAGUUAAAUUAUUAUUUUUUUAAAUGAAAAUUAUUAUUAUUUUUAAAAUUAAAUAUAUCAAUUAAAUUAAAUAAAAUAUGAGUUUGACAUUAUUUUCAUAUAUAAAAUUAAUUUAUAUUUUAAAAAUAAUAAAAUACUAUAUUCAAAUAUUUUAUUUGAAUCCUUACAUUUUUAUUUUUAAAAAUUAAUUAAAAUUAUAUAUAAAUAUAAAUGUUAAAUCAAUUUAUUUAAAAUUUAAACGUUUGAAUUAGAAUAUAAAAUAAUAUAAACGUUCAAUUUUUUCAAUUAUUUGACUAUUAGUUUAUAUAAAAAAAUAAUAAUAUUACAUGUGAUAUAUUAUUUAAAUUAUCAAAUUGCGUAUAAAUUAUUAAAAUUUAAAAAUUUACAUAUAGACUAAAAUUAUAUUAAAUUAUAAAAAUUGAAUCAAUUAAAUUAAAAUUAAAAAAAUAGAAUUAAAAUGUAAAUAUAUAUAUAAUAAAUGUAGAAUUUUUUAGAUUAAUUGACCAAAAUUUUAAUACUUUAUAAAUACUUAUAAAUAUUCAAUUAAUAGUAAGUCUAAUAUGUAGGUGUGAUUUAUCAUUCUUUAAAUAUAUAAUAUAUUUUAAUUAAUUGAAGAUAUAGGAUGAGGCGUGAGGCAUAUUUGAUUUAUUGUUGAUUACUAGAGGAUAAUGACAAAAAUCUGAGAACUCAAUGGUCAGCUUUCAUAUAUAUUCGAGAUUUGCUAUGUCCAAAGAUUGAUUUAUUACAAGAAGGAGAGUCACCUCUUAUUGCAAGUUCAAUCACUAUCCACAAAGAUGAAAAAAAAAAAAAAAAUCACUAUCCAUAAUAAUAAUAAUAAUAAUAAUAAUAAUAAUUUUGAUAAUAUCGAUCCACUCCGACCUUGGCCACAAACGUCCUAUCUAAUUACUAAUUGAUUACUGGUCCAACCUACAGGGAAUGAACCAGAAAUUUAUGUCCAAUUUAUGUCUAAAAGAAAUGUCUAUUUUUUCCUUCAAGCAUAUAAUAUUAGAUGAAAGGAGCUUUCCACCAAUAUGUGUUUAUAUUUUUCUUAUUUGGCAUAAUUCAUUAAUAAAUGCUUUAAAAGUCAUACAAUAUUUCAAUUUUUUUUAAUUAAAAAAUUUAAAUUAUUUUAUUCUAAACAUACUAAUAGUUACGUAAUAAAAUUUCAUAAUUAAUCAAGAAUUAUGUUUUCUUAUUCUAAAAUGAAUUUAAGUUAUAGAAUUGUUUAACAUUUAGUAGAAUGAUAAACUAAUUUAAUAAUUAAUUAAUUAAUUACUAAUAAUAAUUCAAAUCGUAUGCAGCAUACACACAGGACAAGAAAGAAAAUGUGGAAGCAGAGCCUGCAGUGCAAACAAAAACAGCAUUAAAAAAAAAAACAUAAGAUGCUUGAGGAAUGUAAAGCUUUGCAGAAGUGAUCAAACAAAAGCCCCCAAGUUUGCAACGAAAUUCGUAUCACGAAACAGUGACAAAUGGCUUAUUUGCCGUCUUCUCCACCUCUUCUUUGUAGUUAUCGCAUCCUCUAUCUUCUGCAAUAGUUCAGCCUAUGAUCUGAAACCUACUUAUAUAUUCACUUUCUUAUGAAAUCAUAAUUAAGGAUGAAAAGAGUAUUUAUGUUUUGUAGACUAAUGCAUGGGAGUGGACUUGCCAGUGAAAAUUUUAAGGGGAUAAAAAAGGGAAAACUUUAGAUAGAUAUUACAUAAAUUCAACUCUGCAGGCCAUAAUGAUUUGUAAACAAUGAGUUGAAUUGAGUAAUAUAUAAUAACCUAAGACAUAGCACAAAAACUGACUAAAUGAAAGAAAAAUCUUAUAAUACAAUCGUUAUAUGUAUAAUAUCAUUAAUGUCUAAUUGUUGUAUGACUUUCUAAUUUAGAGAUUUUAACUCCAAACUCUUGACAUCAUGCAGAAAAUUUUGGUAUUACAAGAAAAGGAUUCCCCCAAUAAAUAUAGGCUCCUGCACUUUUUAUUCAUUCAGCUAAGUAAAUGUUCAGAUUUCAGAAAUCUUGUGACUCCCACAGUGAUUGGAAACAAAAAAAGAAAAUUUAUCAAGAUCACAAGUAGACAAUAAUUAGCUUCUAAAUUAAAAAGCCAUUGCAAGGGGAGUUGAUAUCAAGGAAAGACAAAUUAGAUUAUGCAGAGUAAUUAGUCUUAAAUUUUAUGGCAGACUUGGACCAAAUAUAAUUUAUGCUGCCGACGUCCGUUAAAAACCCACAAUAUUUUUUUUUAAAGAAAAUUUUGAGACACACGACUUUUAAAAGUGUGACGAGAGCCAUAAACCUGGUCACAAAGUUCAAUGUGAAAAUUUUAUCGUUUAAAUGGUUAAUUUUACACUUUUAUUUUUUUACAUAUUAGGGCUUUAUUAUUAUAAAUAGCCAUUUUCUUGACUAUUUGAGUAUUUUUUUCAACUUUCGAGAAUUCAGUAAGAGUUUCUUCUUUUAACCUUUCGUUUUUCUAAAUUUCGUCUUAGCUAAACGUUAUUAGUUAAAACUCCUGAAAGAUUCUAAUAAGUCCUAUUUCAGUUGGUAUCAAAGUGAAAUUCAUCCAUGGCCGACAAUCAAUUGGCAUGACUCGGUGCAAUUGAGGCAUUCUUGGCAAAAUUGAGAGAGAUGAUCGGACAGCUAGCCCUACAAUAGGGUAAUAACCAACCCACUAAAGCCGAAAGCCCACAACCAUUUUCAAAUCAUGUGGUCGUAAAUCUUGUGAUCGCAAAUCCUAUGACUGCCAAUCCCCAAUAGGAUUAUCACAAAAGUUACAAGAUAAAGACAGAUUUUCAAAACUUUUCUGGUUCGUUGGAUGUAGAAUCUGUCCUUAAUUGGUUGGCGGACGAAACUAGCUGUUGAUGAAGUAGACGAUUGAACAACGAUUCUUGCCUAGUGAUCACGCUCAGAUUUUAUAUAACUGGUAUCAUAAUUGUAUUCAAGGGAGUUGAAGGGUGGAUGAACAUAUAGAGGAGUUUUUGAGGUUGUAGGCGAGGUGUGAAAACUAUAAGAACGAAGCCCAGCAGGUUGCUCAUUAUCAAAGGAGAUUGAAUCAUGACAUUCGCUGUAUGAUGGGAGUCGCUGCGAUUUUCACUUUGGUAGAUGCUAUUGAAAUGGAAAAAAGAGCAGAAGAACGUGUUGAUUGGCAGUCUCGACCUCAAUCUAAUCGAAAUUUUAAUUACAGAAAUUCUAGUUCAACAGGAACUCAGUAGUAUAGAGGUAAUUACAGUGGACAACCUUCUAGGAUUGUAAAUUCUGGCAAUCCUCAGAGUAUUGUGGAAGAAAGGAGAGACAGUAAGGGAAAAGCAAUCACCGCUACAAUAGACAAAGGAGACAGAAUCAAUCCUUAUCAGAAAUCAACAGGAGACAUAUGUUAUUGCUGUAGGCAACUUGGUCAUCGAUCGAAUGGUUGUCCAGAAUACAGAGGAGUUAAUAACGAUUGUCGACAAGUUAAUGUGGUUGAGUAGGUGGUUGAAUAUGAGAAGGAAGUGGAUGACGAUGAUGGAUCUAUAUGAUAGAGGGCGUUCUAUUUUUUGGAUUUGUUGUUAGUGCAUAAGGGAUACAUGUUGAUGAGAAGAAGGUAGAAGCAAUAUGGAAUUGACCCAUUCCUAAAACUAUUUUAGAAGUUCGCAGCUUUUAUAAACUUGCUACUUUUUAUCGGCGGUUUAUCAGAAAUUUCAACAGUAUUGUUGUCCCUAUCACAGACUGUUUGAAGAAAGAGAGAGUGCAGAAGUUUACUUAGAUUGACACUGCCAGCAAAAACUUUGAAGAGAUUAAAGAUAAGCUUACUUCUGCCCCUAUUCUUGCUCUACCCGAUUUUGAUAAACUGUUUGAUAUUGAAUGUGAUGCUUGUAGAGUUGGGAUUGGCGGUGUGUUAUCGCAGUCUAAUAGGCCUAUUGUCUUCUUCAGUGCAAAAGUGAAUGAUACUAGAAAGAAGUGGUCUACUUAUAAGCAGGAAUUAUAUGCAGUAUUUCGGACCUUUAAAACUUGAAAACAGUAUCUAAUGGGGCAGAAGUUUAUUAUUCACAUCGAUCAUCAAUCUUUGAUUUACUUUAAGACUAAAGAAUAUGUGAAUAAGAUGCAUACUCUAUAGGCAGCUUAUUUUGGAACUUUUGAUUAUGUCAUAAAAUAUAAGGCUGACCAUAGUAUUAAGAUAGUAGACGCUUUGAGUAGGAGGACUGCUCUGUUGAUUACAGUUAGUUAGGAGGUCGUGGGUUUUGAAUUUCUGAAGGAUUUGUAUGCUGUAGAUGAUGAUUUUGUUGAUAUAUGGGCGAAGGUCCAGGCUCGCUAGCCUCCUAAUGGGUUCUUGAUACAUGAUAGUUUUCUUUUUAAAGAGAAUAGGUUGUGCAUUCCUCGCUUUUCUUUGCGAGAAAAAUUGAUUCGGGAGAUCCAUGGAGGAGAUUUGAGUGAUCAUUUGGGCAUGAUAAGGCUAUUGCUGGUUUAGAGGAAUAUUUUUAUUGGCCACAAUUAAAAAAAAUAUAGGUCGGAUGGUUUAAAAGUGCCCAGUUUGUCAAACUCAUAAGAGUUAUUCGUAGAAUACGGGCUUAUACACCCCAUUGCCUAUUCUAGAAUAUCCUUGGAAUGACUUGUCAUGGAUUUUGUUAUUGGUCUUCCACGUGCUCAACGUGGAUCUAAUUCUUUUUUUGUUAUUGUUGACAGGUUCUCCAAAAUGGCGUAUUUUAUUCCUUGCAAGAAAAUUAAUGAUGUUUCUCAUAUUCCAAAAUUGUUUUUCUAAGAGUUUAUUUCUUUACAUGACAUUCUUAAGACCACUACUUUUGAGAGAGAUGUGAAGUUUCUAACUCAUUUUUGGAUGAUUUUAUGGAAGCAUUUUAAAAUUGAACUUCAAUACAGUAGUGCGGCCUAUCCCCAAACUGAUGGCCAAACUGAAGUAGUAAACUAUACUCUUGACAAUUUUUUACGUUGCAUUUGCAGUGAUAAAAAAAUUGUUUAGGAUCUUGCUCUUGUCUAAGCAGAAUUUACUUGCAACAGUUCUGUCCACAGCUCUACAAAGAUGUCACCCUUUACAGUUGUAUACAAGAAAAUUUUUGCACAUUCAGUUGACCUGAUUGCCUUUCCUACAUGUUUUCAUAACAGUAUUGCAACAAACAACUUGACAAAUCAACAUGUGCACGUUCUCAAACAGAUACAAUAAUGUCUUACGGAAGCUAAUGAUAAGUAUAAAACUACAACUGAUAAACAUAGGCGUUUCAAGUCCUUCAAUGUCGGUGAUCAAGUUAUUGUGUACUUGCGCAAAGAAUACGGUGGAGACAAAAAAAACUUGACCCAAAGAAGAUUGGUCCAUUUCAGAUUAUACAAAAGGUUAAUGACAAUGCCUAUAUUCUUGACCAACUAGAUUAUAUGAAAAUUUUCAAAACGUUUAACGUGGUGAAUCUAUUUUAAUAUUAUCCUGCUGAUGACAACUCGAGGUCAAGUUCUUUAUAAGAAAAGCGAAUAAAGCGGAGCAAUUAGCCUUAGACUUUAUGGCAAACUUGGACCGGACAUAACUUCUACUGCCAACGUUCGUUGGAAGCCCACUAUAGCUUUUUAGAAAAGACAUUUCGAGAUAUACGACUUUCAAAGGUUUAAAAGUAUGACAAGAGUCGUAGGCCUAAUCAAUAAAUUCAAGGCAAAAAUUCCAUCGUUUAAGGGGUCAAUUUUGCAUUUUUGUUAUUUUUUAAAUUUUUUUAAUUUUUCAUAUUAGGAUUUUAUUAUUAUAAAUAACUCUUUUCUUUGUUGUUUUCAAUAACAGAUUUCAGCCUCUAACCUUUAGUUUUUUUAAAUUGGUUAAAAUUUCUAACAAAAUCUAAUCAGUAAUAUUUCAUUAAACUUCAUAAUAAUCCAACAUAAUGGAGGAGCUCAUUCCAUAAAAUGAAGCAAAGAUCAGCCACGUUCCAAUUGGCUGCAACUCUUGCUUCUAAUUGUUCUCUCGCAGGCUCGUCAUCAAGGAUGAAAUCAUUGACCGGUUGCUACAAAAAAAAGAAAUCAAAGGGAAAGAAAAGAACAAAGCCAACAAAAAGAAAAGAUUUUAUUAUUGGCACUCAUCUAGAAUCUUUUGUUCCAUUAAGCAACAAACACUUACACUGCUGCCAAAAAAAAACCAAAAGAAAUAUGAAUAAUAUAAGGAAUUGACAAUUACUAUUGUGUAACUUAAGUUAGGAAAAAUCAAUGAAUUGAACCUUAAAGUUUAUGUUCAACAGCUAACAAUUUGUGUGUAUCGCAUAUAUAUUUAGACUCCUCAUUAUCGGUCUCAGACAUGGCCAGAAAGAUGAGUUUUUUCGAUCUUGUUCUGCACCAUGCAUUGCCUUGGCUAUUAUUAUUGGUGCUGGAAAGUGCCAGUGCAGUCUCAGAAAGUGAACAACUCCAGACUUAUAUUAUUCACAUGGAUCAUUCCCAUAAGCCUACUUCAUUCUUAACUCAUGAAUCCUGGCAUCGUCACACCCUAAAGUCAUUAUCUUAUCCUUUUGAUGAAAAGGAAAUGCUUUUGUACUCGUACAACCAUGUCAUUCACGGAUUCAGUGCAAGGCUCACACUAUCUCAACUAUAUGAAAUAGAGAAAUCUCCAGCUCAUCUCGCCACAUACCAGGAGUCCUUUGGCAAACUAUUCACAACAUACAGCCCCAAGUUUCUUGGACUAACACAAAAGGAUGGCCUAUGGCGAAGUGCAUCAUAUGGCGAAAAUGUGAUAAUAGGAAUCCUAGAUACUGGAAUUUGGCCAGAAAGUGAGAGUUUCAAUGACAAGGGGAUCCCGUCAGUGCCGCAGAGAUGGAAAGGCCUGUGUGAGAAUGGGACAGCAUUUAGCACUUCUAGCUGCAACAGGAAGCUCAUUGGAGCACGAUCUUUUAGCAAAGGACUCAAAGCAGCAGGUAGAAGUAUUUCCACUGAGAUUGACUAUGACUCACCGAGAGACUUUUACGGCCACGGAACCCAUACAUCAUCCACAGCUGCUGGAAACCAUAUGCCUGGUGCAAGUCACUUCGGUUAUGCAAGAGGCACUGCAGCAGGUGUAGCACCACGAGCACAUGUUGCCAUGUACAAGGUCCUCUUCGCAACAGAUUCAGAAGAGAGUGCAGCAAGUGAUGUUCUUGCAGGAAUGGACCAAGCGAUAACGGAUGGGGUCGACAUCAUGUCGCUGUCUCUCGGAUUUACACAGAAACCUUACUUCAAUGAUGUCAUUGCACUAGCUUCUCUUUCAGCAAUAGAGAAAGGAAUUUUGGUUGUAUGCGCAGCUGGUAAUGAUGGAGGCCAUAAUACAACAUACAAUGGAGCUCCUUGGAUCAUAACAGUAGGAGCUGGAACACUUGAUCGGAGUUUCACUGGUACCAUGACCCUGGAAAAUGGAUUGACAGUUGAAGGAACAACAUACUUCCCAGAAAGCAUUUACAUUACUGAUGCUUAUCUAUACUAUGGCAACGGUAAUAGAAGCAAAGCAAUCUGCUACUAUGGUGCAUUAAAUAAGAGUGAGGUUCAUGGAAAGAUAGUCCUCUGUGAUAAUACCACUGAAACAGAUGUUGAGGGACAAAAGGAGGAGCUUCAAAGGGUAGGCGCAUAUGCUGGAAUAUUCAUGACAGAUAUGCCACUUCUGGAUCCAAGCGACUACACUAUUCCUUGCUUGGUUCUACCAACUGCUGCAGGUGCUUUGGUUAAAGAAUAUGCGACUGGGGUGACAAUGCCAAAGGUUAAAAGAAUGAAGUUCAUCUCCACUAAUUUGGGCACCAAACCAGCCCCCCAAGUGGCCUAUUUCUCUUCCAGAGGACCAGACCCAAUUAGUCCAGGUGUUCUAAAACCAGAUAUUUUGGCUCCAGGAGUGGAUGUGCUAGCAGCAAUUACACCAAACAACCCAUACAUGGAAAUUGGCAGGUACAAUCUUGUGACAGAUUAUGCACUGCUUUCAGGCACAUCAAUGGCAGCACCCCAUGUUGCUGGAGUGGCAGCUUUACUAAAAAAUGUCCAUCAGGAAUGGAGCCCAGCAGCCAUCCGAUCAGCUAUGAUGACCACAACAUAUAUAACAGAACACAAAUUCAAUCUUGAAGGACCAGUGGACAGGUCUUCCAGCCACACCUCUAGAUUUUGGGGCUGGGCAUAUCAAUCCAAACAAAGCCAGGGAUCCUGGACUAAUCUACGACAUGAGCGUGCAAGAUUACAUUGACUUCUUAUGCAGCCUUGGCUACACUAAAAGCCAGAUGACUGCUAUCAUUAGACGAAGUCAAUGGAAUUGCAGCAAAGAGUCGAGCGACCUAAAUUACCCAUCUUUUAUUGCCAUAUUUACAAAUCAAAGUGGCCCUUCAACAGUGAAGAAAUUUAGCAGGGUUGUGACAAAUGUGGGAGAUGACACAGCUGUUUACAAGGCAACUCUAGAGAUUCCUCCUGAAAUGAGAAUCACAGUAGAGCCUAGUACCUUGUCUUUCACUAAAAAAUAUCAGAAGCAAAGUUUUUCUGAGUCUAGAGAUGGAUAAAGAAGCCCCUGCUGUGGCAUAUGGUUAUCUCAAAUGGAUUGAUCGGCAUGACCAUGUGGUGUCUAGCCCAUUAGUGGCUGUCAAAUUCUAACAGCUCUCUUAGUUAAUUUAUUUGUCAUAAUAUCCGCAAAGUUUUCCUCCAAGUGUAUGACAUUCAUGUGGAUUUUUUUUGUACAAUUUGUUUUGACAGGAGUUGGAACUUGAUAACUUUUAGUCACUCUAUUACUAAUGAACUACAUUCAUGUGGAAAAUAGUAUGAAUUUAAUACUCAAUUUAAGGAGUUGGACAUUCCUCCAGUUAAAUUAGGAGUUAGGAACAGGUUUCAAUUCAGUACCCAGUUAUAUCAAACACUUCCAUCAAUUUCACAAAGAAGAUGACUGAUACUGCAAGAACAGACACACAUACACGCUCACAAGGAAUGCUUAUACGCAUCUAACCAGAGAUUAAAACAACGCAAUUUCUGCAUACAACAAUUGAAGAUCCAUUGCAGGUUAAUUUUCAAAUGUUAAAGCAAAGUCGGGCAGCGAAGGAAAAGAACUAGAUUGGGAAAUCGAAGCUUACAGACAGUAGCAAGUUUAGCACCCAAAUAAAACAAAAGAAUGGGAAUCGGAGCAAUGAUGGAACGGUGGACGUAAGCGAGAGCUUCCACCAUCCUCAGUCAAACAAAAUUUUCUGUUUUAAGCAAAAAAAAUCUUCAUCUUUGUACAGCUAAGACAAGCCGUACAUGAAAAUGAACGGAUGCAAUGUUGUGGCAGAUUAUGCACAACUUUCAGGUGCGUACUGAAUUCAACCAUUUGGGUCGGCCAUUAUGACCACAGCAUUUGUCACGUGGCUCUCCUGUUUUUUUUGGAAGCGUAAUAUGUAAGUUUAAUCAAAUCGUGAUAAUUUCUCAUUUUAAAAAAUUAUUUUUGCCACCAUUUUUCUUCAAUGAAAUUUUCUCGAAAAUGAACAUGUUUCAAGUGGGAAAAAACCUGCCAUAACAAUCAUUCAACUUUCACGUGUGAGAUUUUUACACUGUGGCCCAUAUUGGCAGGCCCACCAAAAAUUUCAAUGAAUUUAAGACCACUAAACAUAAGAGAAGCGACAAUCACAAAACUUAAAUAGCAUACCUCCAAACGUAGACAUGAGAUUACGGGCCAUAAGACAGACCAAAGCCGAAUAUAGAAAAAGAAGAAAAAAGCUUUAUCAUACCUUUUCUUUGAAGAGCAGAAUCGGCCUAGACAAACACAUUGUUGGGACCCAAAGAUAACGUAUCCCUUGUUCAUAUCUAGCUGUCAAGGUUUCUCUUGUCACGACUCGGCCCCCACAACCUUAAAAGCUUGCAGGAGUAUUUGCAAUAGUGCCACAUGCGAAUUGCAGGUCACAAGUUUUCUUAUCCAUUGGCAAUAUAAUUUAACAAAUAUUUUGUCUUAAAAUACUUUUGAUGAGGGGAUUUAUGUUCAAACAUUCAAAGUUUAUACUCAAUUAUUCUGAUUUAAUGGUUCAUGAAAUAACUGGAGUGAUUCCACCUGCCCAGCUUUAUGGCAAAUGUCUGCAACUAGUUCUUUGUCGGUGAGACAAACAACUGUAGUUAGAUUUUGCUGACCAUAAAAGCUAAUGUAUCUUGUACCCUAACCUCCACCAAAAGCCUCCCCCACCCUCAGUCUCACACCACACGCCAAAAAGAAAUCUCCUUUUAACAUAAAAGGACGCAUUUCAUGAACAUCAACAUAUAUAUAAUACAGCAUAAAGAAAAAACUAAUAAUUUUCGAAAUUUCUACCAGAUUGAUCAUUUCUAAGAUGAAUUACAUAGACAAUGAUAUACACCGCUGGAUAAAAUCAAACAAAAUUCAGAUUUCACACAUCAGGGAAAGAACAGUACUUCAGAUUACAUGCACAAUGACACAUGAUGCUGCAUGAUCUACAAAUACUGCAAACUUGUAAUCGUAUGCAUAUACAGGUAAGAGUGGAUCUGUCGGUGAUAUUUGUAUAUGCCAGAUCUGAACGGAAACAAUAUGAACAAAAAUAGGGUGAAUCCGCUCAUCUUGUACAAGUUCAGCAAGGCUACUUACUGUUCUUCAGGAUCUUGUUUUCUCCACAAUGAUCUAUUGGUUCGGGCACCACUUUCGUAACCACUGCUGUCCCCUGAUUCAGUUACACGUUUAUCUGUUUUCUCAACAUCACAAUGAGUUCGCCCGUGUUCCCUUCCAGUUCUGCGGUCCUGAAAUCAGAGCACAAGGCAUUAUUGAAAAAGAAAAGGAUUUUAAGCUUAUAUUGUUCUGCUUGCAUGUUCAAGAAAUGAAAUCCUCACUGCAAUAUUAAAAUUAACCAAAGAAUUCAAACCCCUCAACAACCCCACAAAACCAGAAUUCCAUAAACCAUAAACCCAAGAGCAAGUGAAUUGGGAAAAAAUUAUUAUCUUAACUUUAUCUAUAUUUUAUUAAACAAAAGUUUACAGAAGAAAUACAAACAUAAUAUACGUGCAAAUUAGUUAAGAUCAAAUUUUAAAGCUUAUUGCCCCUCUCAGUACUUAGGAUUGCAUCGAGUGAGUUGAUAAUAACAAAGUCUAGAAAAUCCAAGCACAAUGCCAUUAAACUUCCCAUUAAAAACUAAAGUGAACACAUGAAGAGCUACCAUAAAAAAUGUUUUCAAUGCAUGACAGUGAUUCCUCUUAAACUUUAAAGCAAUAUAACCAUGGGAAGCUGUAUGAUACAAUUUCACAAUAAAAACAAAAGAAACAUGGAAAAGGAACUCUAACAAGGUGUACAACAGUUAGCUUGAAAACCAAAAGGCCUAUUUAAAAGAAUGAUUAGUUGCUUCACACCUAUAUGAACUUACAUCUCGGAAGGGGAACUCAUCAGCUUCAAGCAUAUGUAUCACAUGCCCCAUCUUUGGCCUCUUUUGUGCAUUUGGGUCCACACAGCGAAGAGCUACUAAAAGGGCACGCUUCAGUGCUCUUGUAGAAGGUUUUUCUGGUAACCUAGGGUCCAAAACUCCCUCUGCAUUCCGAUUUGUCACCAUUGUUUUAAGCCAAUCAACUAGGUUCACCUGAAAGUUAGAUUCAACCGUAAAAAUCAAAUAGAAAAACCUUAGGAAGAUUAUAUUGAACUGGUUGAAAUACAUCAUCAAGUAAAUUUGGAUAAAAACCUCUCCUGGAGGGCGGCUGUAAUCGACUGGGCUUCUUCCAGAAAUGAUUUCCAUGAGAAGAAUCCCAAAACUGUAUACAUCACUUCUCUCAUUCAGCAUGCCUGUACUGGCAUAUUCUGGUGCCACAUAUCUGUUGAACAAAAGAACAUAAAUUUCAUCAAAUUUAACUGGACUAAGAUCAUGGGGAGCGUAUAUCAAAUAGAAGUACAACUAAUAAAAUUUAGGACGCACCCAAAUGUCCCCAUUACACGAGUGGUCACAUAACUCCGUUCUGAGCCUAAGAGUUUUGCGAGGCCAAAGUCUGAUACUUUAGCAUUCCACUGCUUAUCUAGUAAAAUGUUGCUUGAUUUUAUAUCACGAUGAACAACCUUUGGUUCAAGUCCUUCAUGCAGGUAUGUCAACCUAUAUUUUAACAUUUGCAGACAUUCAGGAAGGGCAGAAAACACAAAGAAUUGAAUCUCUUAUGAUUAAUUAUGCGUUAUAAAUUAGUACCCUUUUGCUGUUCCAAGUAUUAUAUUCAUGCGAAUCUCCCAUGUAAGAGGGCUGCAAGGUCCAACAUCUCCAUGAAGCCACUGUUCUAAGUUUCCAUUGUCAACAUACUCGUAAACAAGCAUCCUAUAACAACCAUGAAUUUUCUUCAGUUCAGCAAUAUAACACAACCAAAUAAAAGGCCGGAAAGGUACUUUGAAAUUUGAAGAGUGAAGAGAGAAAUCCCAACUUGCAUUACUGAAACACAAAUACCAAUAGUCUAAAGUACAAAAUGGUAAGUACCUAUGAGCUCCUUCAGCACAAUAACCAAGCAGCCUCACCAAAUUCUUGUGCCGAACCCGACCAAUUGCUUCUACUUCUACCUUAAACUCCUUCUCAGCUUGUCCCCUACAUAAAAAGAACAAACUUUUGAAUCCCAUCCUAUCUCGGUGACCACGAAGUUUGCAAGCUAGAAGAGCAAAACCAUAACACUCGAAGAAAUGAGGAGAAAAACAAGGACAGCCAAUGCAUAAACAUCCAGCAAAUAAAACCCGUAUACUCAAAUUAUGAGGUACAGAUAAAAACCCGCAUGGAAAAAAGUAUUAAUAAUGAUGUUAUACCUAUUGUUAAGCAAAUUCUUGACAGCAACUUUAGUAUUAUCCUCCAUGAUACCACUGUAAACGAUCCCAUACCCACCUUCGCCAAUCACAUUCUCAUCAGCAAAACCAUUGGUAGAGACCUCAAGCUCUCUAAGAGUGUACCAAUGGCCCCACCCCAAAUGUGAAACUUCUGGUACCGCGAUAGAUGCACCGGCCUGAUCACCGGAACGAGCACCGGACCGGGUCUCUCCGCUUCCAUGGCCCGACCCACCAGCACGCUCCGGAUACGAUAUUCUGUGAUCCUUCCCAAUCUCAAUGUGAAUUCUGUUUCGCUCACCGACCGGACUAGUACCCUCUUCAUACUGUAGAAGCAGGACUGGUUCCGAUUCCGGCACUGGGUCCGGGCUAAGCGGUUUAGGGACAGGUGCCAGGUGCGAAGGGUCUAAGCGUAUCUCCUGAAUUUCCUUGGAGACGCUGGGGAUUGUGGGAUUAUUGAUAGAUGACUUGAAUUUAGAUUGUGCGGCAGUAUUGUUAUUCUUGUUGCGUUUAGAAGUGAACCAGAGAGAAAUAAGGAACAGAACAAGAACUAUGGCAGCCCCAACACAGAUACCAAUUACCACCCACAAACGUAAACCGAAGAUUGAGGUUCUCUUGGACAUCUGAUCGCUCAAGAAAGAAUGAUUAGACAUUUGAUUCUCUUCUUUCUUCUUCUCCUCCUUAUUCUUCUUCUACUACUACUACUACUACUACUACUUACACUUGUUCUCUUCCUUGAGGCAGCACCCAGGAGAGAAUAAGAAGAAAGAAGAAGGAGAUGCAGACAAGUACAGAGCAGUGGCAGAAAGGGAAUAAACUGAAAAGUUCAUAAAACAAAAGAAGAGAAAAAUGGGAAGAUUAAAAACGGAGUCAUAGAACAGUGAAGUGAGAAGUGAGUGAGUGGGGUUAGAAAUUGAGAUAGAGAAGGGAAGCAGCUGGCAUUGAUGGGACUUCUAGAAAGCAGGAAUUGCCAAAUGGUUCUAGUAGUGACUGUAAUUAAAAGUCUAAAUUAUGCAUUAGUGGGUCUUAUCUAAUAUAGGCACUUAAAUUAGUGGAAUGGAUUGGAGGAAUCUAAUCUACUCUACAAACACUAGGGUCUAAUUUACAUUUAUGUUUAUUUGAUUUUGGAUUUUGGGUUUGGGUUUGGUGUUGGUGGGAUUUUAUGGUUGGUUUUGGAUGCUUCCACAGCCAUUUAUGCCACUUUGAGCAAAAUAUUUAUUAUUUUUUUUAUAAAAAAAAAUUGUAAUAAGAAGUUAGAAAGAAAAACAAAGAAGAAGAAAGGCAUUUGGCUUUUUCAAUUUGGAGAAGAGAAUAUGACAAUAAAAGAGAAAGGAGGAAUUGGGUUGUGUAUAUGGGCCCAAUAUUAAGCAAGUGUGGGCCACAAGCUGCCAUGGGGGCCAAUCCAACCCAUCACUAGUAAAUGGAAGUGGAGUAGAAUCAAGAUUGCCAAUUGAAGAGGUACAUAACUCCAUGCCUUUCAACUUCAGUUGUGGAUUAGAUUAGAUGCUUUUGGUCCCCAUUUGGAGAACUCUCAACCACAAUUCAAUCUCUUUAUUAUUUAUUUCUCCAAAUUUUUAACUCAUUCAGUAGUCAUCUGCCCUUUUAUGUAUUUUUGUAAUGUUUCUUUAUUAUAUAUGGUUAGUCUCUACAUAUAAUUAGAUAAAAUUCAAAUAUUUAAAUAUUCAUUUUAUAGCAUUUGAUUUUCUUACCGUUGAUAUAUGAUUAAAAAGUUAAAUAUGUUUAAAUUAUUAUUAAAUUAUAAUUUAAGGGUAAAUUUAUUAAAAUGUAUGUAAGUCAUGGAGAUAGAAAUAAAGUAAUUAUAAUUUUUUUUAUAAAAAUUAAGUGUUAAAAAUUAAUUGAAGAAGGAAAUUAUAUAUUUAAUUUGUUUAUCCUUUUGAUAUAGGAACCAUAAUAAUAGCAGCAGUAGUGAUCCACAAAGAUGUAAAAUCUUGUGGAUCCUGUAGCAUUAAAUGCAUAGUCAUAUUGGGGUGAAUAAUGAGUUAUAGCUUCUAAGCAAUGUGAGGUUUUGUGUUAGAAGGUGAGAGAGGGGAGACACUUAUUAUCCUUGAGAGAGAGCAAGCAAUAAAAGAAAUUAAAGCAGUCUGGGAAAACCACAGUGCUUGGAGUUGGACCCAAUGGCUUCAUGGUUAAUAUCUUGUUACUUUUUGGUGUCAUAUUCAAAUGUCAUUAGCAGUAGUUUCCAUGAUUUCCAUACUCUUUCACCAUCUCAUUAAAUGAGUAGGAAAUCAGACUGUCUUUCUCCUAUAUAUUAUGAACACACCAGAGGAAAUGUUUCCUUCAACUUCACUUUUUAUCAACUUGGGUCCUAGCUAGGCAUCAUACCUUCUUCUGCUCAAAAGUUUUUUUUAUUUUUUUACUUUUUUGAUAUUAUUAAAAAUUUGUUUAAAUAGAAAAUUUAUAAUCAAAAUAGGUUAAUUAACUUUAUUUUUAUAUUACCACUGCUAGAUACUUGUCUGGUUAAACUUAAUUAAAAUAUGUUAAAUUUAUAAAUUCAGAACCAUCACAUUUUUUAAAUUUAAAUAAUGUUUAUUAUUUAAAUAAUACUAAAGAUUAUAGUAAAUUAAAAUUGAUAAUGAAAACUUACAACAUGAUACCUGUAUACAGCAUCAAUUUUAUGUGCAUCAUCUUCAUCUGUUUUAUGAAAACUAAAAGCCUAAAUCCAUGAGAGGAAUAUUCAUCAGCAAAGAAUUCGACAGACAAAAUGGGUAUAUGUAUAUAUGAGAAUUGACUUCUAUAAAUUCUUUGAUCUCUAUAUACACUUGACUUUUUUCUUUUUCUUUUUUUGGUCCCCAUUGUUGCAGAAAUACAACGCAUUUUUCUACAGAGUAAUGGCUUAACUAUACGCAAGCUAAUUAGAACAUCAUAUUCUCUGGAUACACAUAAACUCCUAGUAAAGCAAGGUAGCUCUAAAAGUUCAGGUAUUUCAGAUGCAUCUCUCCUGCUGGCUGUGGAGCAAGGUAUGGCUGUAGAGGAAGGUAUAGCUGUAGAGGAAGUUCUUGUUUCCCAUUGACUGUCUGGAAUCAACAUGACAGGAGCCAUAAGUUCAUCUCUCCUGCUGCUAGCUUGAAUGUGUCUUCCACUGACAAUGCCUCUGGAUACUGACCAGAAACCCCACCAGCCUGAUCAUAAAAAGCCUCCCAACAUUAGAAAAAGCAAACAAGGGAGAUAAUAAUGAAAGUGUCACUUUUUGCCUAAGACCAACAAAUGUUUGUUGCCACACUGGACGGCUAUCCACAAGAAUUAUGCUCUUAAAGCUUCUUGAAUUCUUGAAAAGUUAAAAGAAAACAGUAUACAACCAAUUAAAUGAAAGAAACCCUAGCCAUGCGUAUGGACCCAUCCAAAACAAAGAAAUAAAAACUUAAAAAGCCAGCAAGACUAUCAUAUAUAAAAUAUACUUACAUGAACAUGGAUCAUGUAAAUGCUACGAAAUUGAUCUGAGGAAAUAUGAGCAGAUACAACAUCCAGUUUAUGCUUCUCCAGGAUAUAGAAGAUGCUGGUGAGUAACCCUGGCCUCUUCAGUGAACACACACUAAUCUGUGCAUCACCCCCGCACAUGUUCAUUACAACAUUUGGAGAAAACCAUGUCUGGAAGCAAGACGGGGGAAGAGAAACUGGAAACGAAAGAGGCAUGUUCGUAGCCAUAGUGAAACUCUUUGAUGAUCCCUGAAGAGCCAUAAAAGCUUCCCUGGAUUCAAGUGCUUCUGUAUGUGAUGUGAUAACUGAUGGUUCACUGUCAACAAUUGUUACUCCUUGAAGCUUUUCUUGGCUUUGGUGUUGUAGCGUUUGAAGAGUUUCUUGGAGGUUCUUAAUGUAUUUUAUUGCUUCAUCGACAAUGGUGGACUUGUCUGCCUGCAUAAGAGCAAAACUUGGAUGAUACUUAUAUUUAUGAAGUGUAACAGGGUUACAAUUUGACCAUGCAUUAAAUCCUUAAAUUUUGCUGUCAUGAAUUUGCCCCGUUAAUAAAGGACUUUAGAAAUUAACAUAUCUAUGUAUACAUUCAUGAAGCAAUAUGCAUCCAAUUCUAGAGCCAUCAAAAGCUGAACUGUAUGUAUUUAAUUGGGAUAAUAAAUUCUAACUACAGUGGCGCCUGUUGUGACUGCUAGUAGCUAGGACCAUGGAACAGUAAUAGACGUACGUGAUCAACCACAAACUGACAAUAUUUAUGAUUGAGAGCAUUUGAAUCAGAAAACCCUAAAGUCUAAAAAGCGAAGUUACUGUGGCAUGUCCUCUGGCAGGCAAAUUCCCAACCAAGAUAUCAACGAAUUAAAGCUAACAAGUUCAUCAUGAACUAGUAUACGAAGAAUCAACUUGGAAUCCAUUAAUUGCAUGCAAAGGAAAAGGAUUUUCCUUGCUGGAGGCUGCAGUGUGGCUUCUUCAUAGGUAUUCAGUUCUAUGAAACUGAUCACCCACUUCUCCAAAUCUUAACAAAAAGGUAGGAGAACUCGAUCACACUACAGGAGUAGUAAAGCCUGAAAUUUAGUCAUAUACAUUAUUUUUUAAAUUGGGAGGAAUCGAUUAAAAUAAUAAGAGAGAUGAGUGGAAUGGCAAUGCUAAUGAAGUUUCUUAGCGUUCAUAUCAAGACACCCACUAUUGCAUAUCAUAGGAGCAUUAAAGCAAAUAUGUUAUGUGUUUCUGUUUAGUCUAUAUCUUUUACAUAUAAUUUACAUCAAUUUUGAACAAUUACAAAUACCUUAGCGGGGAGUUGAGGAAGCAAAGCAUGAAGGCUAGUGAACAUGUUCCUCAUCUUCUUCCUCCUUUCUCUCUCAGUCAAGAUGUGAACCUCAUGCUCUGAUUCAGCGCCACCAACAGAAUUAACAGUCUCUCCAUCUUUUGCAACCCCUUUUCUGUUUCUCUUUUGGCCUAGCUGAGCAUCUGGUGUCUCCAUAUGUGUGAGGCUAUUGGAGCUUGAAUUAUGUGUCUCCAAGCUCAAUUUUUUUGGACAGAGAAAAGGGAGAUUAUCGGAAUUGGAAUGAACUCUUGAAGGGAUUUGUUGAUGGGUUUUAUUUGAAGACAUGUUUGGAUUGAAGAGAGAAUGUGUAAGGGAAGAAAAGGAAGAAUUUUUAGAGUAGCAAAAGAGGAGAAGAUACCAAAAUAUAAUCAUGGGACAAUGCCGUUAUUUGGCUUCCAAACAAAAAACGGAAACUAAGCACAUCAUGUAAAGAUUUCCCAACCCGGGUCCACUAUGCAAACUUAAUUCAUCACCCUCUUCUUCCCAAAUUUUGAUUAUUUUAUUAUUAUUCUUAUUAUUAAUUUUACAAAUAGUUUGAAUAUUAUUAAAUUAAAACAUAUUAACUUUAUUGAAAAUAAUUUUAACUGAUGUUAAUAUAACUGUAAAGAAUAUAAAUCAUUGACUAUAAUUAAAAUUAAAUUUUUAGAGUAAGAGAUUAGAAUAUGAGAACUCGAAUUUAAGUCUAUCAAAUGAGCAAUAUAUAUAUUAUUAGAGAUGAAAUCAAGUUAGACUACACAUAAAGAAAAAAAAUUAAGAUUAGUAAAUACAAAAUUGAAGCAAAAUAACCGGAUGAAUUUAAUUUAUUAUAGAUAUUCACAUCUUAUUUUAAUUCGGUGGAAAUAAAAUGUGUAUUUAUAUAUAUAUAUAAUUUGCAAUUGAAUUCCAAUGAAAAGAAAUUAAAUUUUUAUAUUAUAUUUAGCAAUGGAUUAAAAAGGAAAAAAGCAAUGAAAUUUAAAAAUGAAUGAAAGUCUAUAAUAAAAAAUAAUUUUGGAAAUAGAUUAAAAUAUGUUUCUAAAUUUAACAUAAAAUUGAAAAUAAAAUUUAAAGAUGUAUUAAAAAUGGAUUUUAGAAAUAGAUAAUUGUAAUUGUUGUGCAUAUAAUGCAGAAUUGAAAAUAACAAUGAGCAAUUGUAUACCUCCAUUUUGCCAUCAAUAAAAAAAAAAAUUAUAUAUGGUAUUUUAAUAUGGUAGUUUUCACUCUUCAUUCUCCACCACCACCAAACCAAGGAAACGUAUACGCGUAUAACGUACGUACGUAUUGCAAGGCAUAAAGCCAAGACAAAGUGGUGGCUUCCUACGUGUCAUGUGUAAAGAAAUGCGUCUUCAAAACUGCGGGCUCAACAACCCCUCGUUUUCAUUUUUCUAAUAAUUUUUCCAAUUGGAAAGAUUUUAGAUCGGUGUAUCGAUUUAAUUUUAAGAUAUAAAUAUAUUGAUUUUUUUUUUUUAUGAGGGACCCAUUUUAUAUUCUAUGAUUGGUUUGGUGAAUAGAGUCUAAAUAAAUAUUUUUCUGAAAUUUAUUUUGCUUCUCAUUAUUUAUUUAUGGAAAACUAAUACAAAAUCAUCCUAAUUAAUCAUAGAAUCUGCACACAGUGACUUAUAUAUGUUCAUUUCUUCCUCAAAAACUUGAUACCCGGAGAUACAAGGGUUGUUAAGACAAAAUGAUUCGCCCUUGUGCUCUAUAAUAAUAAUAUUUCUUUUAUUUUUAAAGUUAGAGAAUUUGUUUUAUUUAUAUAUAUUAGUAGGAUAUUGCAGGUCUAUAGUCUCGAACUUAAUUUCUUAGGUGAAUAAUAUUUAAUUACUGAACAAAUUAAGUUAAAUUUUAAUUUUAUAUUGAUUAUAAAUAAUAAUAAACAAAAACAUGGAGAAAUUAAAAAAUGUAAUGGCUUUUAGGUUUUAUUUGCACACCUAGUGCGAAGUUGCUUUUUUGACAAGGAAUAGCUGGAUAUUUUGUUUUAAGCGAGGCCAACAAUCAUUUUGUAACUAACUUGCUGCUAGUAAAAUAUAAUACAGCAAGACCAUUAUCUGGUUCCUAAAGAACCUGCUGCUCCAUCCAAUGCAAGUUCACGUUAUUUGAGGCUUCCGUUACGGUUUUCAUGUAUACAAUUCAAGAUAAAUCAUCUUAUUAAUGAUCUAAGCUUUGCACAUGAAUUACUUCCAGCCUAAGAUCAUUCAGGACUUGACAAAAGCAAAACAGAGACAAUGGAAGCCCAAAGCUGUCUGUUAUCAAAAUUUGUACACGACAGGAUAGUUUUUAUAAGGCGAUGAUGAAUCUAGAAAACACCGUUUUAUGUGUAGUACAAUCUUGAGAUUUCAAAUUCAAAUGCCACGAAGUGAGAUGAGAAGAUUUAUAGGUGAAUCCAAUAAUGGAAACAAAAAGAACUUGUAUAUAAUGACUCCACUGGACGCAUUCCGCCUACUCCUUCGUAAUAAUGGUAUUCAUUUCACAGUGAUCCACAAGCAAAGAUUAACAAAAAAACAAAAAGACUACGAUAUUUAGUCAUAUGCACAUAAAAAAAACGAGCAUUGCAAUACAUCCUUCCACUUUACUUUCUCCUUUUGAGUACAGACUUCAGACAGUGCAGUAAUAACCACGCCUGUCAACCUACUGGAUCAUCUUUACUUUCUGAAUGAUAUAAACACCUUAAGAGAUUUUGGACAAAACAUUUCUAAGGGAUAUCAAACACUUUGGUUCCGAACAGUUGUAUGAAUCUGUCACAACAUAAUUAACCUGUUUAGGUGUAAAAUGUCAGCAGCAGUUUCAUGGACCAUUUGCACCUUAUAUGGCAAUCAUGGGGAAAACAGGGAGGAGGGAAGAGGGAAGAAGAGAUUGAUUAAACAGUUUUGUUGAUCCCGUAUCUAAGGUAAGAUCUCAACUAGGACGCACUGGAUGAAGUGGUCUUCACUGUUUGAUUUGUAUCUAAUGGUGCCUGUGAUGUGCCUUCCCUGCAGAUUUCCUUCAUUUUGCAAGAAAAUUGUGUUAAUCCAAACAAAUUCAGGUAGAUUCACUAAAACUUGACACCAGGAUUUACCUUUGAAGAUGUGGAGAGAUUGAAGGGUUCAUAAUGAACCUGAAUAAGUGGCUCAAAACCAUAGGAGGUUUCUGAGGAGGUGAUGUUUGUUGCUGAAGGCAGAACAAUUGUCUGAUUUGAUACAGUGCACCUGUUGGGAUGACUAAGAGCAGUACGUGCUGAGUUUUCUCCAUUCUCAGAAAAUGUAACUGUUGCUGCAUUGGUAUCUAAUAGUCCACUUCCCUCAUCAAAGGUCAAUCCUGUCAUGGGCAGGUUCAUAGGUGGUAGAACUCCUGGUAAGCACAUGGGAUGCAAACUUAAUCCAUUUCUCAUUGUUAACAUCUGCAGCCAGUCACAAUGGCAAAAGACUCAAAUAUGAUUCUAUUCCGAGCAUCUUCAUGGCUAUGCAACUCUGAAGAUAUAACAGCUCUUUAAUGUGCACAGGAGCAGUACCAAACAGAGAUGGUCAUUUUCCUUUGCUUUUUUAAAUUAAGGAUGGGUUGGGGAUUAGGUCCUUACCCCAUCUCAGGAGUGCAUGUGUGAAGAACCCAAAUUAACUCGUAGCUCUUUCACCAGCCUCAAUAGAAUAAAUAAAAAUGUGUUACAAUUUGUCUUGAGAACCACAUGGAGUUCAAACACCUAAUUCCGCCCUACAAACUUUUUAAGGCCAUAAGGUAAUCAAAGUUAGGUAAUCAAUUGGAACCUGUUUAGCUGAGGGCGUAGAAUUGACAAAAGCAAGAGCAAUCGAAUUAGAGUGCAGGCAUUGUAAGGAAAUUUUUAUGGAUGUUAGUUCUUGGAUCACAAUUAGAAUGAAAGCCUAAAACCAAAAUGCAUCCAUGAAUAGUCAAACAUAUUAGAAUAUUGAUAUUGUGUUCUCAUCUCUCCCCUUCCUUUUUCUCACCAUUUUUAUUUCUUCCUUAUCACACUUUUAUAUGAAAGCUUUAACAAAUGCAACCGGAUUAGUUCUAGUUCUAGUUACAUGAGCAUAAUGCAGCAGCUGACUUUGUGAAAUCUAUGAAAGUUAAGUAUGUAGUAGUGAAUCUGGUCAUAUUUGCUUCCAUGCCCUCUCACUGAUUGCCACCAUCAUGCCAAGCUAAAAAUAGAUUUAGAUAUGCCACACUCAGGGAUACCCUUGCCCCCCUCUUUUAUUAUAAAGUUUAAUCAAGUCAACCAACAUAAAAUAGCAGGUUUUCUGGUUCACAAAAAAUGCUCACUUAUUUCUCAAAUCAUAUACAGAAGAUCCAGUACCAUUUGUAGCAUUGGAAAUAUCCAUUAAUUCCAUAUUCUUACUCUUCCCGGACAAUCUAGAAUUUAUGAGAAAAAAUAGAAAAGAAUAUCUAAAUUAGGUAGAAGAUAUAAUAAUUACGCCCACUACAUCAUCAUAAAAUUGUUCUGCUGCCAAAAUAUGGAUAUGCAAGGUUAAUCUAGCAACCGUGAUCAACAAUUUUGUAUCAGGUAACUGCCUAAAGAUUCAUUGGCUGACGAAAAUAGUUUCCAGUCCUCAUAAUAAUAUAGAUUGCAAAGGAGGAUAAAGCUCUCGAUUAUUUUGGAUGAUCUCAUCCACAGGAACAGAGUAAAAAAUAAUGAGAAGAGAAUCAUAACAGAAAGCCGGUUGCUCUUAAUUGCAACCUGAAUUAAAAUUUCAAACAAGGAUUUAGUGAAGGUGAGCACUGACCUGUACUUGAAGCUGAAGCUGCUUCAAGUAUUCGAUUGCCUCAUCCAGCAUUGAAGCCUUAUCGGUCUAUCAUAACGUGAUAAAUAACAUCAAAUCAUUUCUUCGAAAUUCAAUAUUACAAACUCCUAGACUAGGAAAAUUGUUGGCGGAUUACCUUAUUGGAAUUUGGAAUAAGAUUCUGUAAAGCCUUCAUUUUCUCAUUAAUUCUGCUCCUCCUCCUCUAUUAACAAAUUCAGCCAUUUCCAAGUAAACUCAUAAAUCAAAUUUCAAUUUUAAACACCGGCACACGUAGAAAUGAGGUCUCAAAAUCUAACCUUUUCGGAUAAGUUAUGAACCUCUGCAGCUCUGCUUCUCUUCGAGGAGCUUCUAGGCCGCACCGUCUCCGAUGGCACCUCUGACACAUCUGCACCCUUCUAAAAGGAGGAGAAUAUAAAGAAACCAUGGUCACCAAAAUUUCGAACAAUUAGUAGGCCAUCGCUGAUAAAUAUCACUUUAAAUUGCUAUUAACUAGACACAUGAUUAAAUAAAAAGAUAAUUUAUUAAAAAAACGACACAAAUCUUUGAAGCAAACAUCAAAUCAAACAAUUACCUCGCUAUCGCAGCUUAAGCCACCUAGAUCAUUCUCCUCAGAAACCCCUCUCUUUGAAAUAACUGAAGAGACAGCAUUUUCCGCACUCUCUUUGGCGAAAUAACCACCGGGAUCAGAGAAAUUGAUGCAGGAGUUGCCGCCGUCUGCUCGGCAAUCUUGGGAGUGGCCGAAUAACAAUUCAGCCGGAGGUUUAGUCUGCGCCGGCGCCGGCGCCGGCAGCGGGGGAGAAGGAGAAGAGAGAGCAUGGUGCAUGAAUUUAGCAGAGGGAGAGGAAGAGGAGGAAUGGUGAAGGAGUUGGUGAAGGAAGGAGGAGAUUUCUUCAGGCUCCGGAGCUGGAGAAGGAGCAGUUCCGUACAGAUCGGCCAUGGAUAAAUAAAUCUGAGCAACUAGAAAAGAUAAUAGAGAAAGCAAUGAUAGAUUCUUGGUGAGAGUCUGGUCUUUGUAAAACCGUCGUUGCCCGACCUGUGUUCUCUUUUUCUGUGCUUGUUCGCUUUUGGUCUCUUGGGGAAAGGGUUUAUUAGCUAAUGAAGCUUUUUUGAUAUACGAAGCCGGUGAGCUUUGAUCAAAUUUGAUUAAUCUCCCGCCUUAAUUAAAAGCUUUUCUUUAUUUUUCUUUUACUUCAAACUCCCUAUUGUUUUCCAUAAUUGUAUUCAGACGCCCAGUUUUUAUCUUAUUCUCAAUUUCUGCCACUUCUCCCCUCGUUUAUUCUCUAUUAUACCCUUAGCGUCAGGCUGAACGUUUUUCUUCCCCUUGUGAUUUUUUUUUUAACAAUUAUUGAUCAAGUAAUUUCUUUCAAAUUUGCAAUAUUAUAUAAUUGCAUGAAAUGUUUAUAUUUAUUUUUUUACUUAUUUUAAAUUGUAAAUUACAUUUUUAAAAUAGCCAUUCAUUUAUAAAUAAAAAUAAAAUUUAAUAAAAUAAUGUAAUAAUAUUGAUAAAAUGUAUAUUCAAUUAAUGAUGCUGAGGGAUAAGAGGGUGAAAUAGAAAAAUAAUGGAAGGGGUUAAAAGUCAAAGAGAAUCUCUAUAAUCGAGGAAAACGUCAUCUUAGCCUGAAGAGGCAGAAUUAAAUCGCUGGACUACAAAAAAUUAGAAAAAAAGAGGUGCAAUUCCCGAUGUCACUUAUAGUGGCGUGUUAGCGAAAUAUGAUCCACUUAACCAACACUGUUUUACUCCAUCUAGACCUAACCCAAUCUCAAUCUGGAAAGUUCCACCUACUUCUCACCCUAUAUCGCCAGUGGUAUAUGGAGUACUUCACAGUAACCUCGAUCUUCAACAAUCCCCGUUAAGAUCUUUUUUCCCCGAACAAGAAUUUAAGGUAAUGCCGGAGAAAAAAGAGUGAACAAGUCAUUUCGAAUAAAAAAUAGCCUCAGCAAAGGUUGUUUGUACCCAAAACACCAUUACCUACAGGCCAGAGUCAGAGCCGUGUUCAUACUCCACCUACAGCCUUCCCGACUUGAGCAUUAAUCACAAGCGUUACGCAGCUUUUUUCGCCACAGCGGUGUCUUUUGGCCCAGAAGCCGUCUACAAAAGCGGAGGAAGUAACGGAAAAUGGAGGGGGGAGAGAGGAACAAUAUGGGGUAUGGAGUUCAGGCUCAGAUUUAGCGGCAAAAUAAGCCUUGGUCCAGCCGUUUUUUGCAGAUACAGGUACAGUUUACGUAAGAACCUGUCUUCAUUCUAAUAAUUUCAAAGAAAUGAUGCAAUACAACAAAGCUAUGAAAAGGGCGAUGACGUGUUGGCCAAACCAUAAGACCAUUCCAAACUCAAACCCGACUCAUCAGAUAUGAUAGUCGGUUUCCUAUGCCAUUUCCCCGUAUCCUCUCAUGCAGGGACUGCAAUGCCAAUAAAUGAUAAAAUUUUUGAACAAUUAUGUUUGGUUACAUCAGGGGAAUUAAAAAAUAAUAUAAUAAGAUAGGCUUGGCCUGCCAUUAGGCUACCCAAAAAUGUCGCCAGACGCAUUGAUACACUAAAUAAAUAAAAUAAGAAGAAAAAAAGGGGACGGGGGGACACAAUGAAUAUCCAACAGAAACUAAUUCUUCAAUGAAACAGAAUAAAAUGUUCAAAACCAGUUUUGCAACUCCGAUAUUUCCUUAAGACAGUUGAAUCAUCACCAUGGUAUCUGUUUCUUUUGAAGAAACAAAUGCCUUCCUCUGGUGAGUUAUGCCAUAGAUUACUCCAGAUGGACAAAUCUUAAGACUCGAUGCAAGCCACUACUCGCCAGGAUAACGAAUCCAAUCACCAAGAAUAUAUGACAUGCACCAACCUUUUCCUCAUAUUCUGAGAACAAACUAAUUGCCUAAUCAUCAAGCGUCUUAUCAAGUACCAAGACCCGUUGUUUUACAAAUGGGGCACCAAUUCUUAAGCAUCAGCCAUUGCUUAAUACAGUCGGUGUGAAAAUCGUGCCCACAGUCUAGCGUACCCACAUCUUCUCCAUUAUUAUAUUCCUCCUGCACGCACGUAAAACAUUAUAUAAGCUAAUGACAGAGGUACUUGAAGGAAUAACACACAAGACAAAAUCGGUUACCUGACAAAUGCAACAAGGUUCUGCCUCCAGUGCAGUCCUUGCUGCAACAGAAUACUUCCUCUGCCUUAGCCGGGUUAAGAUAGUUUCCUCGCUCAAUCCGGUGCUAACAUUUCCAAUGCGCUCUUCCAAGGCCAACAAUUCCUACAAUUCCAAGAACAGUAAAAAGCAUUGCAUUAUGAAACCAAUGUAAAAAAUCAACCAGAAAGUUAGAUGGCCAAAAACCUCCUAUUUUACCUCAUAUGACAUGUUAUCAACAUCAAGUCGCAUAUCCCUAUGCCUAUCAUGAACAUCGGCUACUCCAAAAAAUACCGAUUGGUCAAGAAUCAUGACAUCCUGAAGCACAAAUACAAAUCAAAUAAAUAUUAUUUUAUCAUAAGAAGAACACAAAAUUUCACUAAUCUUGUCUGUCAUGGUUUUAAGGUUCAAUGUUCAUAUAUGAUAACAUCAAAUGUUGGAAGCCCCACAAACAGCACUCUUCUUCUUGACAUCAUGCGCUAGAUAUACAUGGCAUGUCAAUUGUCAAACAAGGGGGGAAAAAAAGAAAUAAAAAAGAAGAAGAAGAAGAAGAAGAAGAAAUAGUAAUAUAAGAUAACGGAGUUCACAAAUUAACCAUGUGCCCAUUGCAUACUUAGGGAGAACUAUAUAGGAACCUGCAUAGUGCUUUAAUUUUUUUAAACGUUAGAUUAGGCAUUCAGAAAGUCUCUAUCAUUAUAGUAGAUAAAACUAGAUCCUAUUAAUUAAAUCACAGGAAGUGUUACAGCCAUGACUGAGCAGUGGAACUAUUUGUUGUCUUCUCUCUUACAUAUCACAUAUGUAACGCAAAAUAAAUUAUGCAAAAGUGGAACUAUUUGGUAAUGUUUCCACCACUACGCUUCUGAUUAACAAAAGACAUCAUUUACUGCCAUAACACUGAAAAUAAAUAAUUAAUGCCCUCUUGAAUCAUCCUUUCAAGCUAGAAAAGGAACCAGUUCCAUUGCUUAUUGAUUAAGUUCCCAAGCAGUGGCCAACACCAAUAGACUGAGAAAUGGAUUAUCUGCCUGUUACCCCACUUCAUAAUGACCAACUUGACAAAGAAUUGCAGCUUAAAUAUGAAAAGGACAAACUAAC
RNAcentral lists this long non-coding RNA (48385 nucleotides) under Manihot esculenta (cassava). RNAcentral describes it as "long non-coding RNA (MESC_LNC010597)". Lineage: Eukaryota; Viridiplantae; Streptophyta; Magnoliopsida; Malpighiales; Euphorbiaceae. The record is from RNAcentral.